UUUUUUUUGAAACACCUGACCCCAGAGUAUAUCAGAUCCGCCACAAAUACAGGAAAUCCACUGUUCACACGGACAGAGUCUCCCCUGUAUUUGCACGGCGUCGCACAAGUACAUUAACUCAACCAGAGUACAACCACAACCAUAUGAACAUACAACGACCACACAUACAUACGUCCAUACAUUCACCAUUCACAACAUAACCAUAUCCAUAAUAUUAAACAUAAAUCCAGAUCUAUCAUUUGAAACGUUUCCUUCCCGGAAACAAGUUUUGAAAUACUAAGUCUCAGAAAUCCAUUGAAAGCUCCUUUUAAAACUGUUUUCCACACGGAAACCUUUAUCUUUUAAAACGCUACCACGAGGGGUAGAUAACUAUCGAAAACUGUGUCGCAUAUGAAAAUCCUUUUCUUUUUAAAACAAGCGCUACCACGAGGGGUAGAAAACCAUUUUACUUUGAAAAGCCCAUAAAUCUCUUUUUAUCACAAUACGUAAAGCCAGCGGAAAAACCAAUUACUCAAGUACAGAAUGAAACUGAACCAUAAUAAAAGUUUACUAUUUAUUCAAGCAAGGGAAAAGAGAUAAUCAAACGGGACGGAGCUCUAACGCGCGCUAGACUCGCUCCUCACCUGCCGUCCCACUCGGACCUGCGACGUCACCUGUAAUGGGGGCGGGGGGUGAGAACAUGUAAACAUGUCUCCCCUCCCAGGGCGAGGGGGGCGAGGGUACGCACCAGCAAAGGAGGCUAAACAACAGUAAGGGUAAACAACUACAGCAGCUACUAUGAUAUAAGAACAGAAAGUACAAGGAACUAAUGUACAAGUAAUGAACUACUGCUACUGUAUGUAUGCAUCAACUGGUGGAUAGUCCAAGGAUACCCAAUCUAAACCUGCCUUGUUGGUCCGGAGACCUCAGGCUAAUGCCACAAUCACUCAACCUGCAUAUACCCAGUCGUAACCUCUGAGCUCACGGGUGGACAAGCCCAACCACUUUUCCGGAAAAGAACACCCCCUGCGGUGGAUCAGACCGCUGGCGUUCGUGAAACGUGAACGAGUGGUGACGAUCGAUGCUGAGAUGCUCAAUAGCCAACCGUCGGCAACCAGCCGACAAUCACUGCCCCUCUGGGCAAACCGACCGUAUAGGUCAUCAAGUACAACGUGAACCGACUGAGAUAGGUCAAUGUACGUAAAGUAACGAACGACCAAACAGGUCACCGAUGCAACAGGAGAACCGACCAAGCGGGUCACAUGUAUAGUAUAUACUAAUGCCAUCUACUCCACCCCUACACAGAAUACUACGCAUAGGACAACCGGGCAGAGUAAAUAAAGACAGUAUGGUGCAAGGCUCAAUAUGUAAAGAGUAAGCAAUAUGACUAGACGAUGUAAAAGAUAGGGUAAAGGAAGACAUCACCGAGCGUGCACCACUGUACCGACUUCGGAUCGAAGUACCCACCUGUAUAAAGCUGAAACGGUCUCGCGAAGGCGGAGACGAAGCGACCGGACCUACGAAGGGUCCACCGGGUUAGAGUCUAACCCACAAACACAAUAACACGACCAUUCUCACACAAAUCCCAAAAUCAUAACCCCUCGAAAAUCGGUUUCUCAAACGCAACUACUGAACCAGCCGGAAGUCCCGAAAACCGUACCGAAACUCCACCGUCGCUCACCCGUCGUUUCCAAACCCUCGAGAAGAUGCGGGUGACCAGCCAACAAGGCUCAGCGACGCUACAAUUAACCACGAGGCACCGUCGGAUGAAUUCCGAGUCGAAAACGCGUUCUAUCGGCGGAUUUCGUCGAAAAAACGCUCACGGAAAUGGCGAUAUGAAUUUCCGCAGUAUUAUUGGGCGUCUUGACGAUCAGUCCAGAAGUUGUCCUGACCCCUAACUCUGCUGCCGAACAGCAGCCACGACGAAGCGAGAAUGCAGAAAGAUACCUCUAACGGAACAUGUAAAUCAAUAUUGUUUGUGAUUUCCAUGCUCCAAGGGUCGUCACCAGCAAACCAGGGAUUACGGAAGGGAUGCCAUCGACACCUUGUUUUGCUAGGUUUCAGCAUGCCUGGGGCCGUGAAUACCUUUCGGAGCACUGCCGGGGCCAACAACUCGCCGCGCUACCGAGCGAGGCGCGAACACAGCGAACCGAGCGCGCAUCAGCGCGAAGAUCACAACAUUACCAACUAACCAGGCACGUAACCUAACAAUGGAGUGAGCAUACAUGUUAGCACGACCCCACGAUCUCGUGCUGCACGCUCGCGCGAGUGCCAGGAGUCAUCGGAUCACUCGAAAAAGUGAUCGAACACAAAACGUAUGCUGGAAACCGAUAAAUGGCUAUACAGCCCGAGAGCAAGUGGAGCUAUGGAUGGCCGGCCGCGGAUUCGGCGCGGCGCUCCGGCCCGGAGUCUGGAGCAGCCGACGGUAAAAGUCCGGGGGAGGUGCUGGUGCCGCCGGCGAGGCAGCAGCCGGUGGCGGCGGCGGGGAGGAUCGGCGCCGCAGACGUUCCCAGCUCGGGUUGGAGGCUUGCCGCCGGCGAGGCGCGCGCCGGGGGAGGUCGAGGCGGCCGAUGCAUUCGUGCCGGAGACCGAGAGGAGUGGUGCUCGGCUAACAAGCCCUCUCCAGCACAAGGCUAGCCGGUGAUGAGGUGGUCCAAGAGAGGAGGAAAAUUGGCUGCGCUUGUUUCCGGCCGGGCCGGGGCUGCUCGGCGGCGGCCGGAACGCGAGCACUGGCGGGGGCAGGGAGGUGCCUGGCCGUGACAGGGGCGGGCCUGGGGUCAAGCUGGGGGGUUCUAGGUUGGUUAGCAGUUCACGAGAACCCUAGGUCAACGCUAUAUAUGGUCGCUCACAGCGACUGUCUUGUGGCGAAAAACCCCUGUCAAGGACUGAAACCUGUUUAAACCAGACUCCCUGGGCCAGCACGAGUGCUUUAAUGCACCGACAGUGACCGCUCCGAGUUCGAAAACUCGCAAAUCGACUGCAUAAAAUAUCGGUCUUUUCUCGCGAAAUAAUCCGAUUAACUCAAUCAUCGCCUUGCGAAUACUUUUGUCGAGUUCCGAAGAUUUCCGUACCGUCGGGAUUUCCGAUCGUAUCAUCAGCAGCGCGAUCAGCACGAAGCCAGCAUGGCACGAAUCUCGCAUCUCAUUUCGGACAUUCCGAAAUUAGGGUUCCCAAGUUGCGGACACGAAUCACAUCUCCUAUGUUGCCAAAAGACAAAAAUCAUAUAGACAAACUAUAUGUUAGAAACGCAUUUAAACCCUUUUCUUCUAAAACCUACGUGGCAUCAAUUUCAAUUCCGUCAGUGCCAUUGGGUCCGUAUAGUGAGGCGGUUGAAAACGAGCUAUUGGAAGGCUAUAUUCGGAGUCCGAUACGCGUCGAAAGUCCACUCUACUCCGCGGCCUCUCCGAAAAAUCGGAGUUACUAUUCACUUAAGUCAAACUUCCGGGUCGCGUAACUUCUCCGUUUUAACUCGUUUUCUCCUGAAAUUUGACGAGUACACUUAUAAUUAUAUUACACACAAGAACAUCGUCAAACAAAAGGGUUUAAUCAAUAAAUCAAAAAUCUCAGUUAUUACAUGUAAUUUCUAAUUUCUAUAAGGAAGAAUCCAAAACCUCUAUAAAUGAGUGAAGGAUCACUCCAUAAUCAACAAUAGGUUCGCCAUCAAAAUCUAGAUCCAAAAAUUUAAGAAGCUUAAUUAUCCAAAAAUCUGAGCUAAACUCACAUUCCAAGUUGCAAUUCAGGUGAUAGACAGGUUCAAAACCAGUGGAGGAUUUCAAAAAUCCAGCUCCCAAGGCAUUCGAAUCCAAAAACAUUAAGAAAAUCUCAAUCUCAGCUCAACAACACCAAAAUCCUAAGAAAACAACAAUUUGAUCAUACUAACCUCAAUUGCUUGCUGUUAAAUUGGUUCCACACACUCUCCAACAAGUCCACAAUCCACAAAAUCCUUCUUCACAGCAAUUGGAGGCUCCCACAAAGCACACUUCCAAACACUAUCCAAAUUGCUGCUGGAAAUUUGCAGAAAUUCCAAGUCCUCAAUGCCAAAAGUAAAUAUUUGAAGGAUUGGAGGGGUUAAAAUGCAAAAUUACAAUCUCUCUGUGAAGAAGAGAUGAAAAGAACUCUCAGUUGACGUCCAAAUCUUUUUAUAGAAGUAUAGGCUAUGUGCAAUAAGCCUCAAGAACAACCUUUGCUAACCUAUACUGCUACAGGAAACCCCAGAUUCGGGCGCCCAGAACCCAGAACUGGGCACCCAGAACUUCCAACUUGCAUAACUCAGUCCUUUGGGUUCUCAGUCCGGCGGUCUAGUGCGCCCUAAUGUGGUCCGGUGGACCUCACCUACCACAGCACAUGUGUCAAAAGGAUCGACAUUCACGAAGUGAACUUUCGGGCCCAACUUCCGGAUGCCUUAAAUAGGGCAUGAAAUGACUUCAGUAUCUAAUACAAAACAACCCUCAGGAUCUUGGCGCCCUAAACCACUUCUGGAUGCCCUAAACCGCCAGAACUUCAGUUUUGGCUUAUUUCAGUGCGUUGAAUCAGUUUUCGCAUCCAUUUCGUGCUAAAACGACUCCGACUCGUCCCGACAUUCUACAGAUGUGUCGACUAGUCGCUGAUACUGUAGUCAUUCCGAUCGCUAAAUCCCAGGGAUACUACAACCGCAUUAUGCGAGUCCCUAUAGUAGUUAUUUAUAAUUAGAUAUAACUAGCAACAAAUUUGUUUAAAACUCUUAAUCAACUUAUUUUUUAUAUAAUACAAUAAUUUAUAGUUACAAAAAUAAUAUUGACAAUUUUAAAAAAACAUCCAUAAUAUUAUGAUGUUGAGCAAUCAAGGGGCAUGCUUGAAAUUUCCUCAAAAUUGUAAUAAGGUAGAGAACUAACCAAACAAGCAAUGGAUAGUAUAUAAAUAUACAAAAACUUAAAUCCCUUGUUAUUAAAGAUGCUUAAAGAAAAUGGGAAUUGAAAAGCUAUAUGUUAUGAUGAUAUUCCGAAAUUUAGGGCAUGUUUGGUUGUCCGAAAGUGAUCAAAGUAAAAAAAAUCAUUUUUCAAAAAAUGACUUUUUAUAAAAGUUACUUUUGAGUUCAAGUGUUUGGUUUCAAAAAAGUGAAAGAAAAAAAUACAGUUUUUAUGACUUCUAUUAUUUGGUUCUAUAUAAGAAAAUGAAAAAAUAAAAUAAGGCACGUUUCUUUCUUUAUUUUUUUUAAAAAAUAUGUUGUUUUUUUUUUUUUAAGAUAUGGUGGUUUUUUUUAUUUUUUAUUUUUUGUAGAUGAUAUGGAAGAAGGCUUUUGGAUACAGUUCGUAAGUCGCGUGGAGGGAGGCGGCCUACUUUCAACGACUUCGAAAUUUUUUUUGCCAAAGUCAAAAAAGUGGAUUUUAGUUAUAAUCCACUUAAUGAUUCACUUUUCAAAAAUCACUUAUAUGUUUACUUUUAUAAUCCAAACAACCGAAAUAAUCCUAUUUCGUCAAAAUAUUACUUUUAUUGUUUCACUUACGGGCAACCAAACGUGACCUUAGAUGCUAAAAAGAAAAGAAAAAAUAUAUGAUAGAAAAGUAUGUAAGGACAACAUGACGAAAACAUAAUCAUGAGGGUACAAGAGUAAACCAUCUAAAGUCAAAGUACUAAGUUGUCACGCCCCGGGACCGCUACCCAUUUGGUCGGGUUCGGGCACGUCGAACAGACGCCGAACGGACAGCACCUUCCCUGUCCGCCCAAGACUCAAGCACGGGAUCAUGUACAAGAAUUCGCCCAGGAACAAUUCAAUACAUACAUGAUCCAUACAACGACAAUAGAAGCACCACAAGUGCAUAACAACAAGAGCAAGUAACACAAGUAUCUAUAUAAGUGCAUAAAAAGAGAGAGUUCUAUCUAUUACAUCAUGAUUUGAACAUUUAUACAAUUUACAUGUUUGUUUCAUCCAAAAUAUAGGUACAAGUUUAUUCACAUCUCUCCAAAAUGCAUCUCACAACCUAUACAUCAUCUACUCUCAUAUGUGUAGGCACCUCUAAUGCAACUGGAGGGAUACUAAUGCUAGGGCGCUAAGCCCUUACCGUGAUUCUCGCCCGGAGCACUCGUACUCGGCCCUGCAACAAAGUGGGGUGAGAACUAUUGUCCAUAGUUUCCAGUGGGUUCGGCAGCCGACUCCGCCGAUCUCCCCACUAGGUCCAAGUGGGCACAAACAGAUAGAUAGAUAGAUAGAUAUCAAAGCUAAAAAUACGAUAGUAGGAAAACUAUGCUACUAUGCCCAAUCAUCAAUAAUAUAUGCAUGCAUCAUAUAGUAAAUGGUUUACUAACAUGCCACUAUGUCCAAGAAGUAAUGUACUUUACUUGUUCAUCAAUUCUUUUGGCUUAUUCAAUCCUUGGCCAACCCUCAGGUUCGCCCACGACUCACAUGCAUCUCAUGGUAAGGAAACUCAACUCGUUCACAAACCCGAGACCGUCGCGGGACCCCAUAAGGAUAUCCCAGGGACCCCAUAAGGCUAUCCCUCAUGUGACAAAACUCCGGAGCGCACGCUUGUGUGGAGCGACCACCACUAGCUCUGAACAGACAGUGAGUAUGAUCCAAUCCUCUCAACUCGAGGAUACCCUAUCCACUAGGGCUAACAGUCACUCGGGAAUCCACCUAUCCCAAUGUCCAUAUGCAAGUGUUUAAUUUACACUAAGUUUUUAUUCAAUGACUCAUCACUAGGGAAUCCACCUAUCCCUAAGUUCACAUGUUAAGUGUCACUUUUACACUAAGUUAUAUGCCACUCGUUCUAUUGUCAUUGUUAUUUACAUGCCACUCGUUAUGUCUUAUCAACCAUCGAGUCCAUCUUUUAUCUCAGCACUAUAGGAUUCAAUGUCUCGACCCAAUCCUUAUCUAUCCACUAUAUCAAGUAUUCAACUCACACUAUGAUAUCAUCUAGGAAAGCAUAAGGAAAUGAAAAUGCACAUUUAUCCUACAAUGCAUAUAUACAAGAGAUGCAAGAUUUAAAAUACACUAAGACAUAAAGAGGAGCCUGGUUGCUUCGGGAUGACACCACCCACCUUCUGGCGUUGUCACAACUCUAGGAAUGAAGUUCGCCGAUUUUACGACGUCGUCUCGGCCUCCUAGGCACAAACAAAACUCGGAAAGUCCCUUUCGCCAAUAACUUUGCACCCGCUCGACGAAUCGUCGAACCGUCUUCGCCUACGCGUUUAAACACCUAGCAAUUAGGUUUACACUUGAUCAAUUUAGAUCAAUAGCCAACAAAUCACGAAACCCCAUUUUUGGAGCCCUAACUUGCAAUCAUGCAAGAAUCAAACUCUAAAUCCUCAAACUCAUGCAUAAAGCAUCUCCUUAGCAUGCUAGGGUUCUAUUUAAACCAAUUCUAGAGUAUAAAGUCCAAACCCUAGAAGUUCACCAUGAUUGAGCUUCAAGCUUACCUCCAAAAGCUAGCUCCAAGGUGUAGAGAAAGGAGAAGAAGAUGAAGAUCCUUCUCCUUGAUUGAUUCUCCGCCAAAACCCUUCUCUUCUUCACCUUCUAGAGAGAGAGGAAGAGAGUAUAGAGAGAGAGAGGGAGUUAGGUUUGUGUUUGGGGAAGAAAAUGAGAAGAGAGAGAGAGAGCUCACUCUCAUAUAGCCCCAACUCAUGCUACAAUUGCAUAAAAACCCCUCAACUUUGCCUUCAUGACACAGCCCAUCUUGGGCAAUUUCGGGCUACGGGGACCGGUCUCUCCCUACUAGGGACCGGUCCCUGAGGACCUCCCCAAAUCCACGCGUUCGGGAAUCGGUCCCUCUGGCCCGGGGACCGGUUGCAUCACGCAUCACCGCAACCACCAGCCGAUGGAACCGGUUUCUCCCUGCCAGGGACCGGUCCCCGAGAGCAAACCCGCGCAGACCAUAUUCGAGAACCGGUCCCUCCCGCCAGGGACCAGUCCCGGAGAGCAAAUCUGCCAAGUGCAGGUUUUUCACAUCAUUUGCUCUCGCAGACUCCAUUCCAAUGCACCUUUGGCCAUUUUGAUGCCUUCGGCUUUUUCGAAGCACACAAGUCGACAAUCAGUCGAUUUUAACCGAAGUCCAACUCUCGUAUUUCGAGAAUUUACUUCCUUACAUAAAUGAUUUUAUAAGCUUAUAAUAGAAAAUAACUAAAUAAAAUUAAGAAGCAAAACAAAAAAUAGUAUAAAAUCAGUUCGGUUUCGUUCGGAAUAAAUCCGCUGAUAUCUACUAAACUUAUUAGCGUAAAUGAAAAUAGAACAUCCACAUGGCAUUAUUGAUUUAUCACCUAUUUGGAUAAAAAAAAAACUAGUUUUUUUGAAAAACUUUGUUUUUCAGAUUUCAUAAAAGCUAGUGAUUUAGUUUUACAUUUCGUUUUUUCAGAAAAACCUACUAGUUUUCUAUAAAAUAUAAAAAAAUAAAUAAAAUAUGCUAAUUUUUUUCGAAACUGAAUAGGCGAAAACUAGAAAAAAAAAAGUUCAUGAAAAAUUUUCAUACUUUUCAGAGGAAAGCAAUUAGCCUCUCAAAGAUUAUAUGUCGAAAAAUUAUAAAAUUUAGUUUCUAAAUACUUUCAAUAGUGUAGAUCAAGUCUAACGGAGCCGAUCGUCAAUUUGGAAGCUACAUAAUUAAAAAUAACUUGGUAGCACGGAGGCCUCCGUGCUACCAAUAGUAUACCAGCCUAGCUUUAUAUAUAUAUAUAAGAUAAUCGUAUUGAUGAUAUUUUGAUGUAGGUUUAAAGUGAUCAUAGGUUUUUUUUUUAGAGAAAGAUAGCAUGCUAUCCGCUUCGUUUAUUUUCUUUAGAAAUAAACUUAUUUGGAAAUAUGAAUCAACUAAGAUUCAAAUUUGGAACUCGGGUAUCAACCACCAACUCUUUGCCACUUGCGUUAGGGACCGAUAAAAAUGAACCCAACAUUCAAAGAUUUUUCCAUAUAUCGUUUUUGGCAAAAUUUUAGGAAGAUAACAUAAGAAUUUCUUAGUUGUCCCUUGGCCAAUUUGUUCAUUGCAUAGUCCUUGAUGAUGAUGGUUUUAUCUUAUCUAUGUACAAAUCCGCAACGCGCACACUUGGUUAUUGACUAUAGAGUCCUAUAAAAUCACUGCUAAAGAGAGGAGACUAUCUCACUGCUUUCUCUCUUUUUCAUAAAGUACCCAGCCUUGUGAUAGUACAGUUGAAUAAAGAGAGAGAAAUUUUCUAUAAAAAGAUUCAUGAAAAAGAAAGUCAAAUUUUGUUUUGGAUGAUCGGAAUUACAAAUUAUUAAUCAAUACCACUAAAUUUGAUGUAGACUAAUUGAAAUGUUUAUAAACAAGAUUUCUGUAAGGUUUAAACCCUAAACUCUAAAAUCCUAAACCAUUACAAAAUUUAUCAAAGAGCCCCAAAAUGAAUGACCAAAAAUAAAUAACUUACACAAAAAAAAAGUUAAACAUUCUCAAUUGGAGAUCAAAAUUUUUAAAUGUUAUCUAAAAAAAAAACAACAAAUAUUCAGGCUAUUUGUAAAUGUGUAAACAAUCCAUAUAAGCCAAUAAAAAUUAUCUAUUCUUUUUUUUUUUUUUUAUAUUUCACCUACAGUUUCUAGUGCAAGUAACAAAACACUUGAUGAUUGGAAUCUGAAUUUCUAAAUUCGAUAUUUUAUUACUUUAUAUUUCCAAUUAGAUCCAUUUCUUUUAAAAAUAGGGCCCGAAAGCAUCCACAAAACAAUAAUAUAUAUAAAAAAAAAAAAGUAGAAAGUCGAUUUUAAGGGACCCAAAAUUUACAAAAUCCAAAGCUAAGAUCUUUAGGUGCUUGCUCAACCACUCUGUUAUCAAUGCAACCACUUAGCCCACCUCUUUUAAGCUAAUUAGUUUACAACUAUAGCUGCAACACGACGUAUAAUCUAUGGCCUUUCCUUUAGCUACUAUCUUAUCCCUAACAACUACUAGCCACAUCUUUUUCAAAGUACUUAAUUUUAAACAUUAAUAUUUUGCUAUUGCUAUUGUAUCCCUUUAUUUUGAGAUUGUAUCCUUUCUCACUUGGGUGUACCUUGUCCUUAGGCAGUAUUUGGUUGGGGAACAAGGGAGAAAUAAUCCUUGUUUUCCCCUUGUUCCUAAAGAAAAAUUUGCAUACCUAAGAUGUAACGACCGAGCCCACUAGCAAACGAAAAUUUGCGUACCUAAGAUGUAACGACCCAGCCCACUAGCAAUAAUAACUCGUUGGGCCCAACCACCGGCCCAAAAUACUUAAGCCCAGUUAUUAUUACAAGUGUCUAACUCUCUUAUAAACCCAAUGACAACCCCAUUUCCAUCCGAUGUGGGAUUAUACCCUGGCUCAGUCGAGACUCGCCACACAUGUCCAGCUGGUGAACCGGCUCUGAUACCAAAUGUAACGACCCACUAGCAAUAAUAACUCGUUGGGCCAAACCACCGGCCCAAAAUACUUAAGCCAGUUAUUCUUACAAGUAUCUAAGUCUCUUAUAAACCCAAUGACAAUCCCAUUCCCAUCCGAUGUGGGAUUAUUGGGGUGUCACAGACUCCCCCGUUAAGGUCCUGACGUCCUCGUCAGUCCAAUCACACACACAGCCCAAGAUCACCAGGCGAUGUGAGACUCGUCUCGCUAGCCCGUCAUCCAGACCCUGGCUCAGCCGAGACUCACCACACAUGUCCAGCUGGUUAGCCGGCUCUGAUACCAAAUAUAACGACCCAGCCAACUAACAAUAAUAACUCGUUGGGCCCAACCACUAGCCCAAAAUGCUUAAGCCUAGUUAUUAUUACUAGUGUCUAAGUCUCUUAUAAACCCAAUGACAAUUCCAUUCCCAUCCGGUGUGGGAUUAUUGGAGUGUCACAUAAGAAUAAUAGUUAUUGGAUUUUUGAAAUAAAUUGAUAUAACUCAGUACAAAGCUAGAACAGCCGUUCCACCUUUUUUUGGAACAAGCUUGUUCCCAAGUGGAAAAAAGAUUAAUUAAAGCCUAAAUUUAAUUAUAAUUAUGAUAUUAAAUCAUUAAUUAAUUUAAUUUAUAUAUUGAAAUUAUUAUUUAUUGCUUAAAUAAUAAAGUAAUUAAUUAAUUUAUUACUUGUAAUUAAUUAGCUAAUUAAUUAUUAAUAAUUUAAUAUAUUUAUCUAUAAACUAAUAUUUAUGUUGAUGAACCAUUAAUAUUUUUAUUAAUCUAAUUAUUUUUUUACUAGUUAUCUAACUAAAAUAAUUUACUAACUAAUUAAAAAGUUAAAUUAUUUUUUAUAAUUUAAUUAAUUAAUUAAUAUAUUUUAUUAUCUUAUACAAUAUUCAUAAUUAAUAAAUUUUUUAAUUUAUUAAAUUAAUUUUAAGUAAUAUUUUUAUGUUAAUUAAUUAGAUAACAUAAUUUUAAUUUAAAAUUAUGACUCUUAUUUCUCUUGUUUAUCUUAUUCACAGGAAGAAUUCAAUUUUCAUCCAAAUACUUACACCUGAAUUUGUAGCUAUUUCUGAAAUAAACAGUUCUCACUUAUAGCCGAACCAAAACGCAGCCUUAGUUUAAGAACUAUUUUGGUAUUUUAAAAGAAUUACUUAAGAUUAAACCAUGGCCCCUUUUUGUGUUUUAUUUUCACAUUUCCAAACGCACAAUAAAUAAUGUGUCGUGCUUUUUGGCCCAAAAAAAGCUGGGGCAAACGGCUGCUUAGACUAGAGAUCUAUUUCUUGCUUAAACUAACUGGCAAAAGUUCAAAAGUUGGGAAAAAGUUUCAAUGAAAUUAACUUGGGCAAAUGUUUACAUUCACUCGAACGACGUAUUUACAAACAAAUAGGAUUAAGGCUUGGUCAUGCUAGACCUAUAUAUGUAGAAAAUUCUCGUCCAAUGUUGCAAAUUUCCAAUGUGUAAUGCUGCUUGGAAGGGAUAAUAAUCCUUUCUCGAGUUCAGACGUUAUCAAAUCCUUAAGGACAAGACAAGCCCAAGUUAAAGUUUAGAGAUAUAAUAGAAAAAAUGUUUAAGUUUCAAACUAAAGUGUGAUUAUUAUUUGUUGGGAAGAAGGUAGUAGCUAAGAGAAAGGCGAUGGAAACAAAAACUUAAUUUAGUUUAAUUUUUCAUUUUUUUAAACGUUUGUGGAAAUAUCAUGAGGCACUGAAAGAGGAAUUGUAGGUACAAACUAGUUAGCUUAAAAGAAGUAGCGCAAGUAAAUACAGUGAUAAUUAAAAGAGUAGCUGAGGUAGUAAGUACGUAGGUCCAUAAGAUAUUAGGUAUCAUUUGGUCCCUGGAGUUUAGGGAUAUUUAAGUUGUACUUUAAUCCAUGAAAUGAAGUCAAGGGUAAUGGAAUUCCUCUAUUAUUAUCUCUCUUGAUUUUCUUCUUAAUUAGUGCCUAAUCUAACUACAAUGGACAGCACAUUUGACUCCGAGAAGGGUACUCGAAGGGUGGUGCAAAUAUACACACUAAUUAAUUAUUUUAAGAGAGGUCCUACAAGUAGUUGCAAACGUUUGAGUAGCAGCUAAGAGAGAAUAACUAUGCAGUUAAUUAGAGAUUAGUAGCUUCAGUUGGACAAAGUUUUGGUGUUAUCAAGCGUUUUGAUUGCAGGCUAUAUAUUUUUAAGUACCUUGAAAAAGAAAAGUGCUAUUUAAAUUGUACUCAAUGUCAUGAAAGAGGGGGGAAUGAGUACUUGAACUCCACCUCUUUCCUUUUCUCUCUACUCUUCUGUUUCAUUCUCUCUCUUUAUUAUAUUCUUCUCUAAAGUCAAGUUUCAUCAUGAGUGCACAAAAGUUCCCUAAGCCUUUACCAAGAUGAAAAUGCUGUUGACUUGAAGCAUGUGUUUGCAAUCCCAAGUAACGAAGAAACUAAGGUUUUAUCUACGUGACAGCAUUUUAAGAGAGAGAGAAAAUUUGAUUGAUGGAAAAUUUUUCAAGUCGGUUAGAUAGUAAUUGGAAAAUAUUGCAAAAUCUAUAUAUGCUAACCAAAGAAAUCGAUGAAUAAGUAUCUAAGCAUAUACUUGUGUGGUAUAUCUUUAAUUUGAACAGCCAACGGAGAUUGUUUAAACGAGAACUACACCAAGCAAAAAAUUUUGAAGACUAGAGAAUAACAUGCUUCUUGCAAAAUAAUAAGAGUGGUAGUUUUGACGAUGAAACAUAUAAGUAAUGCUGCUCGGAAGGAAAUAAGAUCGAAUUCUAUCUCAAGUUGCGAUCUUACCGUUGUCUCUAACACCCCAUUUGGUUCGGGAAUAAGGUGAGGGAUAAUCUCUUACCCCCCUUUAUACCCAAACGUUAUUUUUUGUACUCGAGAAUAGUAGUUUUCAGAUAACUGGAAUAAACUACAGGAAACUUAAUAUUUAACGAAAGGAAAAAUCGUCGUUAAUAUUCGAAAUUACGUCGUUAAUAAUAUAUAGUGAUGAAAAAAUAUCUCGUCGUCACCCGUCGUUAUAGCCUUUCACGUUAAAAGAAUUAACGAUGGAAUAAAAAAAUCGGUCGUUAUAUAUUUCAACGACGGAGUAAGUUACCGUCAUUAAUUAUUAUUCAUUAGUAACCAUACGUUGUAGCAAUAGCGACCUAUUUUUCAUCGCUACAAAGCUUAAUUAUGCGAAAGUUUAUGGGUUUAACGACCAAUAAAUUCGUCGCUAUUAAGCUUAGUUAUGUAAGCUUUGUAAGUUUAACGACCAAUACAUUCGUCGCCAAUAAUUAGAUUAUUGUGAGCUAAGUAAACAAUAACGACUAAGAUUGUCGUCGCUAAAAGUUAGUGUUUUGAAUAGCACAGAGUCGUAACGACCAACAUUUUGGUCGCUAAAAAAUAUAUAAUAUGCAUUAUACAAUUGAAUUACUUUUUUUGUGUUUCUACAUGUGAUUUACCAAAUUAAAACAUAUUGACAAAUACAAGUUAGAAGACAUUCACAUUCAGUUUAAAAAGCAUUCACAUACAAUAUGAUUCACUAAUUUAUCAAAACAACCAUAAAAAGUACUUUCAUCGAACAUCAUCCAUCAUUUUUAAUUUAAUUACUACAAGUCCACAUAUGUAGUUGCCCAAAAGUUUACUAAAUUAAAAGUAAAUACCCCAAAAUAAGGGAAAAUGACAAUUAAACAAGAUGACAAAAAGUUGUCAUAUAUGUUCCGUUGAGUUUUGAAGCAAAAACAAAAAAACAUAGGAAAUCUAGCUAAUAGAUCUGUUGGCUUCAAGUCCCCUCUGCUCAACAUCUUUUGCUAUCUACAAAAAAAAAAGUAAACAUUAUUAUAAUAUUAAUAGAGUAAGAUAAAAAUAUUUGAAACUAAAUGAAGACAUAGUUUGGAGAAUACUACUAACAAAGCUAAGAUGGUAUUUCCUGCUCUUCAGAUCGAGACGGUGGUGGAGGAGCAUUGAAUUGUUGUUGUAACAUUUCCUUAAUUGCUUGAAGUUCAACCUCUGUAACGUAUCGAAACCCAAAAACGAUAAUCGAACUUUAAUCAAAUUGGUUAAAGUGUCGAGAGAAAUGGAUUGGUGAGUUUCAUUUUUGCAUUCCAACAAGGUUGGAAGGGCAAAUAUGAGUUUAAGAAGUGUUGGAAUGGUAUUGGCAUCGAACGGCGCGAAGUAGAGUCGAAACGAUGGAAAAACAGCAUUCUGGAGCAUUGUGUACCGGUACGCCAUGAUGGCUGUACCGGUACAGCAAGCGACCCGAGCACAGGUUGCUCUCGGGUUUGAGUCUGCGCGAAGGUGUACCGGUACGGGACCCGUGUACCGGUACACAAGCUGCGAAACCGAGAGACCUUGCUCUCGGGUUUGGACUUAUGCGCAGGCCUGUACCGAUACACAAACCCGUGUACCGGUACACAGGGGCUCUGGCAGCAGGGGUGAAGUCUGCUACAGAAUUAAGUUGAGGGGCCUAUUUGCAAAUGUCACAACAUGAUAUUUGGCCCACCCCUCUCCCAUUUUCACAGCAAAACCCCUCUCCUCUCCUCUCCCUCUCAUUUCCUCUCUUUCUCUCUCUAAAAGCUUGGGCUAGGGUUUGGGAAAGAAGAAGAAGAAGCAAGGAGGAGAAGAAGAAGAGCUUGGAGAGGAUCUUGUGGCUCUCCAACAAGGUGGACUUGGGUGAGCUCGUGGCAAGGGUGAGUCCUUUUGCUCAUAGAACUCUAGGGUUUGGUUUUAGACCAUGGAUUUUGGGAUUUUGAUCCUCUAAUUAUCCUAGAAACCCUCUAAAGGCAUUGGAACACAUGGAAACUUGAGUUCUUCAUGGUGCUCCCAUGGUGGAUCACUAGGGCACCAAGUGGAUGCCCUAGGGAUGAGUAGAAAGGCUUUGUGAUGGUAUUAGAGAACUUCUUGGUUGAUUCUAAGCCAUUUUUAGCUUAGGAAUGAGAUCAAUCCAAGAGCAAACCAUAUAGGGCUUGGUUAGGGUUCAAAUUUGGGGCUUUUGCCCUAGGAUUUUUCGGGAACAAAUUGAACCCGUAGAAACCUAAUUGGGGGUGUCCUAAACGCGUAGGACAACUCCGUUUGAGGAUGCGAAAAUGUUUAAAUAUAGUUCAUGUAUAAAGGGGCUAAUUUAGCACUAUUUGGGUUUUAGGGCGCAAAGUUCGGCGUUCGUAACAUUCGGGAGACAUCGUAAUCUUCAUCCACUACCUCAUUAAGGUGGGUAGUGCAUUCCAAGGACAUCGAAAAUCCCUUUAUGUCUAAAGCGUCAUAUUUGAGCAUAUGUAUUUAUAUUGUGCAUGUUGCAUAGUAGGGUUAAUUGUAAAUUUCCUUUGCAUAAUAUGAGUUCUAAUGCUUGAGAAAUAGUAGUAAAUGAAUGAGAAUUGGUAACCCUAUAUAUGCACGAUAAGGGACAAGAACCUAGAAGGGUUAGUAAACAAAUGUGACAUAUUGACAUAGACAUAGAGUGUGGCAUGAGUACAAGAACAUAGCACUUAGAAAACAAAUGUGGCAUCAAUGACAAAGAACAAGAACAAGUAGUGUACAUGAGAUGCAAGUAAAUUGGGUUAGUGACAUUAUGACAUAUACACCUUAAAGUUAAGGGUCAUAUGAACAUGGUUCUCCUUGCAGUCAAGGAAUGGAUUGAACUUGGAGUCCUUAAAGUUAAGGAUUGAUCGUACUCACCUAAUAGUCCUUGCUCGAGGGCGGUAGCUCCCCCUCGGGUGAUGUGCUCCGGAGUUGUCAUUACUGGAUCGUAGCGGUUAUCUCCCUAGAGGAUGGUCCCGUCGGGUCGUAGGGGUUAUCUCCCCGAUAAUAGGGAUUUGGGUUGGUGAGUUUGUGAGGGCGAAACCUACGGGCUAGCCAUGAGAUUGAGUAAUGAAAAGUUAAUCUUGCAUUCAUCAUGAGCAUUCUAUCGAGCAUAGUUUUAUUUAUCGUUCAGGCAUAUUAGCUGCAUUUGUUAGUUGGUUAUUAUCUAUUCUUUCUUCUAUUAUGCCUGAUUAGACCUAGUGGGAUAGUCGGCGUGGUUGGUUGCCGAACCCAUUGGAAACUUUGUUGUAGUUCUCACCCCACUAUUUCCACAGAGCCGGGACCGAGCGAGCCGGUAGAUGAUCGCGGUAAGGGCAUCGCGCCCUAAGUAGAGACCGCCCGAGAUGGAUUUCAUUUUGUAGUUGCACACCCUUUACUAUCAUAUUUUGUAUUUGAUGAUUUUAGUAUUAUGAACUUGCUUUAAUGAAUGAUGUAAAGAAUAUUUACUUUAAAUGUCAAAAGUUACAUUUUGGGAGAAAUGAGAUGUAAAAAGAAAUGAUGCAAGAAUGUAACAGAACUUGAUUAUAGUUGGAUACAUGUAUGUGAUUUAAAUUUAGUCAUAUUACUUGUAUAUUGAAUUGCUAAUUCUUUCACCUUGGCUAUUGCUUGCCCUCGUGCAAGCCAUUGUGUAUGCUUCCGCUUAUACAAAUUUGUACUCUAUUGAUACUAGUGUUGAGCCUUGGGCGGACAGGGGAAACUCUGUCCGUUCGGCGUCUGUUUGACGCUCUCGAACCGGCCAAAAGGGAUCGGGCUCGGGGCGUGACAACCUCCAUUCCAUCUAUGCGACUUUUAAGUGACUCAUUUUCCUUAUGAGUCUCACAAAGUUUAGCAUGAAGUUCCGCUCUCGAAGAAGAAGAAGGUUUCAAAUCAGUUGAUUUUACACCCCCUCCGAAACAAACCACAUGAUUACGACAUUGAGAUCCAAAGCAUUUUUCAAUAAGUUCUAUAUUGGAAAAUGUUGGAUUUGAUUGCGACGCCACAAGGAUUUCAUCCUUCAAAAUGUAAAUAACAAAACAAAUAAAAUGAGAUAACAAAAGGAGAUAAAUUAUAAUAAACUAAAUGUAAAGAACUUACAUAUUUCUUAAUAGUAUCUUCUCCUUCUAGUUGUCCACCUUUCUUUCUAGUCUCAUAAAAUAUUGUUGCCAAACUUGGCGGUUUAUCAUAUUUUUCUCCCUAUGCAAAAUAUAAAUUAGGUUCAACCAAUGCCGAUAGUUGAAUAUAGAAGUAUGAUAUUUACUUGCUAGUACCUUUUUCCAAAUAAUUUGUCUAAAAGGCCUACUACCCGUGCGAUGUGGCAUUGAUAACUUUGCCCUAUUUUCUGAGUUUCUUUUACUUAUCGCCUACAUUUUCAUCCAUUUUAACUUGAUCUAAGUAGAAAUAGAGGAUGAAAAAAAAUAAAAAAUGAACAUACUAAAAACUUUUCACUAAAAAGAAUGCAUAGUUAAAAAAAAUAAAUUAGCAUAUUCUUGUAUCAUUAUGAUAAGGAAAAACAACAUACCAAAAAUUUUUCACUAAAAAAAUGUUCUUUGACAAGCCACUCCCAAUUCUCUCGAUCAACACCGGGAGGAAGACUUUUUAGAGCAUCUUGUAUGGUCUUGCAAGGCUUUCUAAAUUUACGAUGCAAAUCUCCUCGCCAUUUGUUCCACAAUUCAUUCAUAUGUUCUAAAGUUUCAUCACGAUAUGCUUCUAUUUGCUUAUUUUGAAAUUUGUCCUGCAAAUAUAAAAUUGUAAUAUAGAAUCAACCAAAACUCGCAUUAUAACUAGUUUUAUAGAAAUAUUUUUGACAUAUGAUGAUUGAAAUGCAAUAGUAAACUUGUACAAUCAAUUCAAAUUUAAACUCAUACUAUAAAAUAUUACCGUCACCGCUGCCCACAUGUGGUUUUUAUCGUCUUCCUCAAUUUCCUUCCACGAAUGAACUCGAAGCGGACAAAUAUUGCGAUUACGCACAAUUUUACCCAAAUGUCUUGAAAAAACCUUGUGAUUUUUUCCAGUGGCACGGUUGUUGUAGAAUUUUACCUCCAACUUUUGACCUUUUUUAAUUUUGCAACUUUCUUACACUUGUUUCUACCUCGGACUUUUCUUUUCUUUUGAGAAGUUGCCAGAUCUAAAAAUAUCACUCAAAAUCCAUAUAAAAUUGCUUAAAUACACAAUUGUAUGAAAAAUAUCACUCAAAAUCCAUAUAAAAUUGCUUAAAUACACAAUUGUAUGAAAGUUUUAUAGACACAAAAAUCUGAAAUAAGAUAAAUAUGUCUAAAUGAGAAAAUUUUACCACACUCUAUAGUUUGUUCGGCACUUUGGAUAUCUUCUACAGACUCGAAUUCAUGCGGCAGAGAGGCAUCAUUUGGUGGUUCUGUUGGAGUAUCAUUUGGUGAUGUACUAUUGUUGAUAGCACCAAUUAAAGCAUCUCGUGAUGAUGAUCUAAGAGAAGGUCGUAAUCCUUUUCCACGACCCUUCCCCAAUGCACCUGGUGCUAUGAAGAGUUGCUUUUCAUAUCUGGAAGUGACCAUGUUUCCUCUUUGUAACCUUGAUGAUUGCAUCUUUCACCUACAACAUUAAUGUAUGAAAAAUGCAUUUAACAUAUUAUGCUUUAUGAAAAAUAAAUAUACCACUAUAUAGCAAGCUUGGUAAUAAAAAAUAAUAGCAAGAAAUGCACAAACUUGAUAAAUUAGAAUCAUCGUUUUCUCUUUUUUUGCGUUGAAAAUGUAUCAACCAUCCUUGGAUCCACAUCAUUCCUAUUCCAACUAAUCUCGUUAUACAUGCUCAGUGUUGUGCAUGCAUCAGUUAUAGGAUUGAAAGAUUCUCUUUGUUGGUAGGCUUCAUCCCUAUCUUCAACUUCCUCAAGAUCAUUAUUUAACUGCAAUGGUAUCAUGUACGUAUCACGAGGUUGAGUCUUUUGCACAAUAUGCCAACCUUUAGUAAUAUGAUCAGCAACAUAAAAUACUUGUGAUACUUGUGAUACUUGACUGGCCAAUACAAAUGGUUCAUUUGUUUUAAGCAAACGUUGGCAAUUAACACUGAUAAACCCAUAUUCGUCUGUUUUAACUCCUUUUCCUUUGUCAAAUACGUCCAACCAAUUACCUCUAAAUAAGACCACUCGACGACCACCAAGAUAUUGUAAUUCAAGAAUCUCUGUUAAGAUCCCAUAGUAAUCUAUCUGUUCAGUUUCACUACCGGUGUCCCCAACUACAACUACUCCACAGUUUUGUGUUCUUAAACCUUUGUCAUUGUUGGGCCAAUUCGGCGCGGACAGUUGGCAAGCCGAGACUAUAUACAUGAUCCAUGUCAAAAUGGUGAACCAAGAGCAUAUGAGACAAAAACGGAAAAGAUGAAGGAAAGGAAAGCGAAAGAAGAGUUUCCUGGAAAAUGAAGAAGGAGUGAGUUUCAAAGUCCGUCGCAUCGAAGAAGAAAGGCCGUCGUAUCGAACCGUCGCAUCGAAGUGAGUUUCAAAGUCGGCUUUAAUGAUAAGUAGACGGCGGUAAUUAAGAUGACCUAAUUAAUGCCGCAUAUGAGACAAAGGUAGAGAAUGUGAUCAAGGCCGUAAAGAAAAGAAUCAGCGGCCAGGAUUAAACCGUACAAAAGAUUGCGCUACAGAUUAUGUCAGAGAAUUUGAAUUUGAUUGUACCGAGGAAUACGCCUCGGAUUGCAUUCGUUUUCAGAGGUUAAGGCGAAAAGUUCAAAAAAUAACGCCAGCUACCGAAGCAUCACUUCGAAAGCUGCCGAGAGGGCAAUUGUUGGGCCAAUUCGGCGCGGACAGCUGGCAAGCCGGGACUACAUACAUGAUCCAUGUCAAAACGGUGAACCGGGAGCAUAUGAGACGCGCCAGAAGAUAUGAGCCGCGUUUAUUCAAAAAAUUGUAACAACCGCAAGCGGUUAUGAGUAGUUCUAAUCGGCCGAAGGUGGUCCUCCAAAUCAAGAGAUAGUGGCCGAUCGUGCAGUAACGAUAACUGAACGCAAGGGCAACUUUAUAAAUAGGCAUACGGCACCCUGAAAAAGGGUCUUCGCCUCUGCGCACAAAAGACCACUUUUAUUUUUCCUGGGUCUUUCUUUCCUGCAUUUACCGCUUUUCAUAAGAGUAGUUCUCAUAACUUAGCAUACUUGGAGUCUGUCUACCCUACGGGCAUCACUCCCCUGUUCUAUUCAAUAGAAAGUCAUUUUCGGCUCUUCUUGCCGAUCAGAUCUCGAGUUGUUUAGUCAUUCGGCUCAUCAGUCGAAUUCUGGGCUUCCCCUCUUCAUUCGGCUUAUCCCGCCGAAGCGAAUUUACUGUGGAGGUCUUCGAACCCGGUUGAUUCGAUCCCUCAUCGGCCGAAUCGCUUGAUUCGUCGUGGGCGCAAACUUCAAGGGUCACCAUCCGCGGCCGCUCAUCAUCCCGACGUUCUUCCCGAGGAGAAUUCUUGACCGGGUCAAGGGUCGGGACUUUCGGCCACCAACAGUCAUGUUCUUCUGUAUGGAACCUAUAACCAUUUACUAUAUAACCACUAUAGCAAGUCACAUAUUUUGUAGGUCCACGAGACAAGGAAAGCAAGUCUUGCAUAACCAAACUUUUGUCCUGCUUGUGUAUUUGGGUAACCUACAAGUUAAAUGUUAAAGUAUAGAUAGUUCAGCAUAAGUUUACAAGGAAUGCAAAUUAUACAAAUAAUAAAAUCAAGAUUAGUGCUUACUCUGUUCUUAAACCACUUAAUAAAGCUUUUAUUCCUACACUUGUAUUGUGCUUCUAUUUUGAAUCUCUGUAUACUGUUUGCAUAUCAGAAUAAAGUAGCUAAACAUAUAAUUUUCAACGAAUAAGAAAAGAAUGUGUGAUAUUUAUAUAUAAAACAUACUUCAAAAAUGGUUGUACUUCUUCACAGUUCUUUAAAAUAUAGAUAUGCGCUUGCUCGAAAUCAUGUGUAUCUAGAUCAUGAGUUCUACCAGCUCCAAGUGUCUUUCCGGCUUGAGAAAAGAUAGACAAAUAUCCAUCAAAUUUAUUUCGUCUAUUGUCAUAAUUGCGCUCUGGACAAUUAAAUUUUGUCUCAACACCGUGAAGAUAUAUUGAGCAAAAUAUCAUACAUUCAUUCGCAAUAUAUCCUUCGGCGAUUGAUCCCUCUGGAUGAGCUCUAUUGCGUAUACUAAACUUUUGUGUGUACAAGUUUCUCUCUAUUGGAUACAUCCAUCUGUAUUGGACAGGUCCACCAAGCCUAGCCUCAUGCGCUAAAUGGAUUGGCAAAUGUAUCAUGACAUCAAAAAAUGAAGGUGGAAAAACUCUUUCCAACUUGCAAAGAGUUAUUGGAAUUUGGGCUUCAAUCUGAUUCAAAUCAUCCAUACUUAUUGCCUUAGAACCCAAUAUUGUAAAGAAUUGAGAUAACUCAAGAAGUGGCUCAUAAACUGUUUUAGGAAGGAGACCACGCAAUGCUAGACGUAGUAGUCGUUGUAGAAGAACAUGACAAUCGUGACUUUUUAGGCCUGAAAUCUUGUGCUCUUUAAGAUUCACACAAUGAGAAAUAUUUGAUGAAAAACCAUCCGGAAGUUUUAGCUACUUAAGAAAAAGGCAAAAUCGAUGCUUCUCUUCUGAAGAUAAUGUGUAAGAUGCAGCAGGAAGUAUAAACUUACUCCCUUCUUGAAUUGGAUGUAGAUCAGGCCUUAUGUUCAUUGCUUGCAAAUCAAGACGCGUAUUAAUGGUGUCUUUAGUUUUUCCUUUAAUAUUCUUGAAUGUCCCAAAAAAAUUAUCACUUAUAUUCUUUUCAAUAUGCAUCACAUCCAAAUUAUGUCGCAGCAUAAGAGUUUGCCAAUAUGGAAGCUUAAAGAAUAUACUCUUUUUAUUCCAAUUAUCUCCUCGAAGGUCAUGUGAUAUUUUUUUCUUUUUAUUAGCAGCCUUAGUUAAAUUUAUCCCUUCAAGAUCUUGCACCUGUUCAAGAACAUCAUCACCAGUAAGUAGCUUUGGUGGUAAUCUCCUCUCCUUUGUGCCAUCAAAUGAAAAUUUGUCAUUCCUCCAUUUAUGGUUGGUAGGUAAGUAGCGUCGAUGUCCCAUAUAACAUUGCUUGCAACUAUUGACUAAUCUUAAUGAAACAGUGUCCUUGUUGCAACAAGGACAUGCCAAUUUACCCUUAGUGCUCCAUCCAGAUAAAUUGCCAUAUGCAGGAAAGUCAUUAAUAGUCCAUAACAAAGCCGCACGCAUUUGAAAAUUUUGACGAAUUGACGCAUCAAAUGUUGUAAUACCCACUUCCCAUAAGUUCAUUAACUCUUCAAUCAAAGGCUGGAGAUAGAUAUCAAUUGCAUCCCCAGGACCGUUAGGUCCUGGAAUGAGCAUUGACAAUAUAAGAUUAGGUUCCUUCAUACAUAUCCAUGGUGGUAAAUUAUAUGAAAUUAACAUUACUGGCCAAAUGCUGUAUGGCUUUCUCGAAUCUCCGAAAGGUUGAAAGCCCUCACUAGCAAGACCAAGUCUUACAUUUCGAGGCUCUAAUGCAAAUGAUUCAUAGAGUUCAUCAAAAGAUUUCCAUUCCAUUGCACCAGCAGGGUGUCUCAUUAUUUCGUCAUUUACUCUUUUAUCAUAAUGCCAUCUCAUAAGAGAAGAUAUCUUUGUGAAUAUGAAUAACCGUUGAAGCCUAGGCUUUAAUGGAAAAUAACGCAAUGUCUUUGAUGAUUUGUUUUUACUAUUUGCAUUGUGCUUGAUUUCCUCAUUUUGUUUAUCAUUCUUCCAUCUAGAAGCACCACAAAUUUUGCAAGUAUUAGAUUCUUCAUCGUCUUUCCAAUAUAACAUACAAUCAUUUACACAUGCAUCUAUUUUUUUAUAGGAGAGCCCCAAAUCCUGAAUAAUCUUUUUCGCUUCAUAAUAUGAAUCUGGCAAAGUUGAUCCUUCAGGUAGAAACGUUUCAUUUAAUAAUUGUAGUAACAUGGUAAAUGAUGCAUUACUCCACUUUCCAAUACUCUUGAUAUGAAGUAAUUUUACUAAUACAGAUAAUUUAGAGCUCUUGGAACCCGAGUAUAAUGGUUGAUUAAGCUCCCUUAAUAAUCUAUAAAAUUUUCUGGCUUCAUCAUUGUGUUCUUCUUCAUGUACUUCAUGGCUUGAGAUAUUAACAUUUUCAUGAUUCAUAACGAGAUCACUAAAAUCUGGAUAUAAAUCCCUUAUAAUAUCCUCCAUCUCGUCAUCACUCUUAUCUUCUUCUAUUUCCUCGGUAUUUUCAUCAUCAGAUUCGGAUUAAGGCUCUCCUGACCUUUCUCCGUGAUGAUACCAAAAAGUAUAAUUACGGACAAUUCUAUAAACCUUUAAAUGUGUCUCAACUAUCUCACGAGUUCCUGAAUAAGUGUCUACACUUAACGCAGGGACACCUGAUUUCAUUAUUAUCUCCCGUUCUCUUAAAUGCAUAAUUGAGAAAACUUUGAACACCUUUAUCAUAUGCCUCAUUAAGCCGGUCAUCAACCAAAUCCAUCCAAUCCUUAUUAGGUGCCAUUAUCUUCUUGUAAGUUUGAUAAAAAUUAGAGCUCAAAAUUACCUAAGCAACAUAGAGUGGUAAUUAAGCAACUUCACAUCAAAUUAAUAUAAUGUUAAAAAAAAGCAACAUGUAUAACCUUAUAUAAGCCUAAUUACAAUAAUUAAUGGGUGUGAGUGAAAGACUCUUAUUUAAAAUUAAGAAGCAAGCAAACUUCUACAUAUCUUCUAACUAAUUAUUGGCACAAAAAAAACCCAAUUUAAGAUAACAUAGCAAAGAAUAAAGUCAUAAAAAAAUUUUCUUAUUACACAAUGAAGACAUUAAUCUGUUAUAUAGUAUAGAAAGGCCAUGUAAAUAUGUGGUCACCCAAGCACCUGGACCUAUGUGUUACUAUCACACCACAUGACAGACAAAAAAAAAUCAUCUAACCUUUUUCAUACUUGGUUAUCAAAAGAAGAGUAAAAACUUAGUAUAACAUUCAAUAUAUCAACCACCCAAUAGUGCUCUUUCCAACAGUAGAAACUACAACAAUACAAUAAAAAAGAAAAAUAUUAACAAAAAAUAAUAAUACAAACAUGAAACUAAAUCAACUAGUAUGCAUUGGCUAAGUAAAAAACUAAGUGAAGUUAAUACCUAAGCUUUGGCGGCGGCGGCACAGAGGAUUUUAGUGGCAGAGGCAAUAAUAAUCCACACCAAUCCACGCAAUGCCGAGCGACUACACAGUUUCACACCAAAUGUACCUAAAAAGCCUAAUAAAUAUUAGGUUGAAAAAUAUGAGAUGGACAGAAUAAAAAUAUAUGAACAAAAUAAAUACAAAUAUCAACAUUUCCUAUAAAGAAAAGAUUAAAAUAAAUUACCUCUAAGUAUUUAGGGUUCCAAAUAUUAAAUUUAAAAAUUAUAAAAGUAAUAUGACAGUUGAUAGAAAAAUCUGGCACGUUCAGAACUAUAUUAAUUAAAAAUUGAAAAUUUUAGACCUUUACUAUUUUUUAUAUUCUAUAACAAAAAUGGGUCCCUCUCAUAGGCAUUUUGAGAAAUACUAACUAAAAUUUGGGGGCUUCAAAUUUUCUUCAUUUUUCAUUUUUUAUAACACAACAGGUCACCUAGAAAUAUAUUAAUAUGAAUAUUCAACUGAAGGAUCCUCCCACUUUGGAAAAAAAAACAAAAAAACAAAAAACAAAAAAAAAAAUUAGAAACAAAAAACAAAAAAAGCCUAUUUGCAUUGGACUUGGAAAGUCCUUCCUUUGACUUUUCCUUUCAAUAAAGAUCACAAAUUUAAAGCAUAAAACGACAUUGCAUUGUGGAGUUGUUAAGCAAUUAAGGAUAUUUUUUUGUGGGUAUCGAUAGUCUCUUUUCAUUUGUAGAAAUCCAUACAAAUGGGACCCAUCACAAAUAUCAUAUUAAUAAAAUAAAAAUAUUCUGCAGAUGAAGAUAAAAAUAGAGAAAGAGCUUACAAAGGGGACCCAUUACAGAAAUUCCACCUUAUAGUGGUGGAAAAACUAUAUAAAUAAAGAAAAAAACAUAGUAAGAGAGAGAUAAAGGACCACAGUCAAAUGUAUAUGAUAGCGGCUCGUGAAGCGUCGGAGUAGUUCGCCCUUCUAUAGCGUUGGAGAGCGCGUGAACAUUUGCUGGCGAGCGAGCGCGUGGGUAUAUUUGCCGGCGAGCGAGUGCGUGAGUAGCCAACGGCAAGCGAGGGCGUGGGUAGCCGACGGUGAGCGAAGGUGUGAGGAGCCGACGGCGAGCGAGCGUGUGAGGAGCCGACGGCGAGCGAGCGCGUGAGGUGUUGGGAGAGGAAUCCCUAUGGUGACUCAGGAGACAUUAGAGGAGAUUUGGGGCUAAUUUGGGAGCUAGGUUACUUUGUCCCAAAAGGAUGCGGGACUGGGAGAUUUUAGAUUUUUUUUUGUUUUUUGUUUUUUUUUUUACAAUUAGGAUGCAUUUUGGGCCUGCCAAAAUUCUUUCUAGGCCCGCCAAAUUUUUUUGUUGAGUAUUAACGACCGGGCCAGAUGACUAAUAACGACGAAAUAAAUCUUUCGUCGCUAAUUAUUCGUUACCAAAUAAUAUUCUAUUGAGGUAUAUUAAAUUUUCUCUUUUUAGCGACCAUAUGUAGCGCCCGUCGUUAAAAGUUGGUCGCUGAAAACUCAAUUUGCUGUAGUGAUAUAAACUGGCAUAAUUCGGUAUAAAUCUGGAGUUGUUGUUCCACCUUUAUUCCUGGAACAAUCGAGAACAAGAUUAAUUAAUUUCUAAUUAAUUUUAAUUAUAGUAUUACAUCAUUAAUUAAUCUAAUUAAUAAUUUUAAAUCAUUAAUGAAUCUAAUUAAUAUAUUUAAAUCAUUAAUUAAUCUAAUUAAUAUUAAUUAAAUCAUUAUUUUUGGAUAACCUGCCAACCUAUUUUUAUUUUUAAAAUUUAAAAUUUUAAAUUUUAAAUUUAUAAUUUGUAAUCUCAAAAUUAAAGUUUAUAAUUUUAAAUUUGAAAUUUUAAAGUUUAAAUUUGAUAUUUUAAAAUUUUGAAAUUUAAAAUAUGAUAUUUUAUAAUUUUCAAAUUUAAAUUUGAUCUUAAAUUUAAAGUUUGAAAUUUAAAAUUUUAACUUUAAAAUUUAAAAUUUGAGAAUUUAAAUUUAAAUUUUAUUUUUGAAUUUUAAAAUUUAAAAGUUAAAUUUUAAAUUUAAAAAUAUAAAUUUAAAGUUUAAAAAUUCAAAUUCAAAUAUAAUUAGAGAGGUAAUACCAUUAUUUUCUAUUUACAANAAUAUAAUGAGAGGGGUAAUAUAAUAUUAUUCUUUUUUAUUUAUAACUAACUACUAUUUUUCUUAUUCUAUGUUAUCUAUCAAAAUAUUAUUUUUUUAUUAUCGGGAACAAUUCAAUUUUUAUCCAAAUGCAAAAUUGAUCUACUUUUACUUAUAUGUAAACUUAUACCUAUCCCGAAAUAAGUAAUUCUUAUUUAUACUCAGAACCAAAACGGUGCCUAGGAGCUCGCCAUAUGGAAUAGAUAAAUGUAGGCAUGCACGUGUUUCAACGAAAUUGUGAAAUUAUUAUAUAUAAUGUAAGGGUUUCUAUUUUCAUUUCUAUAGAUAUAGAUAUAGGAGAGAAAAAAACAAGCUAAGAAUAAAAAAUGGCCAAUUUGCAGAAAAAAUCCACUAAUUUUAGGUUUUUGCAAAUAUGGACUACCUUUUUCGUUUUUGCAGAUUUAGACCGAAUUUUUUGCCAUCGGACGAAAAUACCCUUCUUCCUUUUCUUUCUCUCCCUUCUUUUUUCUCUCUCUUCUUUUUUUUUUUCUUCAGUAUGUUUUCCUCCUCCGCAGCGCCCGCCCUCCCCAUCGCCGCCACGUCCACCGCCUCGCCUGCGCCUCGUGCCGCGCUGCCGACUCUGGCCGCCGUUUCUCCCCACCCCUGGCGCCCCUCCACCCCCCACCAUCCGCGCUUUUGCCCCUCCUGCCGGCCCCACGACCCCCCUGCCCCUCCCCCUUUGGCUCGGCCUCCGCCCCCUCCUCCGCCACCGAUGCCGACAACGGCGAGUCGGCGGCCUCCUUACUCGACUACAUGCUCCACCACGGCCUCCCCGACGACCUGCCCCUCCCCCUUCGCCCCCGCCUCCACCCCCUCCUCCGCCGCCGACGUCGACGACGAGGUCCUCGGUGUUGGGGUCGUCGUCGAGCUCCCGCGUCCCCACAGCGGUGCUCUCGAGCAGGAUAGGCAUAGCCCUAGAUGGGGCGGCACUGUCGUGCGUCGCGAAGCUCCGCGGCGGCACGGGCAAUGCGGGGAUCGCUCGCGCUCGCGCUCGUUCUCGUGCUCGAACGGGAGUGGCGAAGGCGACAAAGGACGGAUGGGGCGAGGCGAGUCGGCAGCGUAGGCGAAUCCGGCUCGAUUUUUAGGAGAUUUUUAUUGUUAUGAUGUAGUGGUGUAAUAGUGUAAAAAAUAAGAAGGAAGAGGAAGAGGAGGAGAAGGAGAAAUUGUGUAAUUUUGGGUGAAAUGGUGUAAAAUUUGGUGAAAUGGUGCAAGUUUGGGCGAAAUGGUGCAAUUUUUCUUUCAAACAGGGUAAAAUUUACACUAUUUCGCUCGUCCCUUUUAGGCGAACGUUGCACUAUUUGGGUGAAAUUUACACUAUUUUUUAUUCUCUUCUUCUUCCUCCUUCUUUUUCUCGGUUUAUUCUCUUUUUUUUUUUUCUUCCUCCUUCUUCCCCUUGGUUUAUUCUCUCUCUCUUUUUUUUUUUUUUUUUUUCCUCCUUCUUCCACCUCGAGGAGCUCUAGAGCCGCCUCGCGCGCCUCCGUGCUGAGAACCGCGAGCUCGCCGCGCGAAUCGGUGACGCCGCCCACCUCUCCGCGCUCCUCCCCCGCAACUCCGACUGGCUCCGGGCCGAGUUCGCAUCCCUCUGUCGUCGUCUCGCGUUGGCGCGCCGACGGAGAAGGAGAAGGAAGAAGGAGGCCGCAGUGGAGCAUAUGUCGUCGAGCAGGGAGGCUGCAAAGCGGGGCUGGCCGCGGCGGCAGAGGGCCUAGGCGAGGGCGCGGUAGGAGGAGGGGUCGGGGGAGAGGCCGAGGUGGGGGAGGCAGGCUCGUCGCCCGCGACGUGGCCGGAGCGGACGAGGGUGAUGUCGCAGGGGCAAGGAGCAGGGGGUGCGCGGGCGAGGGUGAGGGUGCGCCGAACAGAGGUGAGGCAGGCCGCCUCCGCCGCUCUCUGGAAAAAAAAAGAAAAAAAAGAACUAGAGAAAAAAAAAAGGAGAGAGAAAAAAAUACAAGAAUAUUUUCGUCAGUUUGCUGAAAAAUCAGACCGAAUCUGCAAAAAAGAAAAAUGUGGUCCACUUUUGCAAAAGCCCAAAAUUAAUGAAUUUUUUAUGCAAAUUGGCCAUAAAAAAUUGAAACUUUGAAAAAAAAAAAAGAAAAAAAGAAAAAAAGGAGGAAAAAAAACAGAAGAGCCGGUAUGGAUAUUGAGUACAGUGAAUAGGCACCCCCUAUCUGCAUUUUGUGCGUUCUUCCCCCCACUACGGCCAUGGCAGUGGCGCCUGCCUCCUCCUCCCUCAAAUUCUCCCUCUUCCUCCUCCACCCCCGCCGCUUCCCCGCCGCUCCUCCGGCCUCUUCCGCCUCUCCACUCCUCUCCUCCUCUCCUUUCUCUUCCCCCCUCCCUCUCUCUCUGCCCCGUGCCCACGUCCCUCUCUCCGCUCGCCCUCUCCCCGCUUUCUCCAAGCCCAAGAAGCCCAAUCCAACCCCGAGGGUCCUCGCCGUCUCCGAUGGAGAGGAGAAAGUCUUGACUCUUGCAGAAGAGGAAGAGGAAGAUGAAGAAGAAGAAGAAGAUGAUGCUGAUGAUGAUGAUGAUGAAGAAGAGAAGGCCGAGGAGGACGGAGCGGCGGCCGCCGGGAAGUUCAGACUUCAGGUCCGGCCCUGCGAGCUCUACGCCUGCAACUUGCCACGGAGCACCGACAUCUCCCAGCUUUUGGACCUCUUCAACCGCUACGGCACUGUCAUUUCCGUCGAGGUUUUUUCUCUAUUUCAUUGUCCGGACCGUAGCAUGAAAUAUAUACUUCAACUUACAAUCUUACAGUGUUUUUGAAAUGUUUUGAUCUUACGUUGCGUCUAACCUUCUCAAUAUUUGAAACACUUUUAAUGGAGCAGUCUGUAAUGCGAUGGAAUAUUUUGUUACUUGAUGAAUUGUUCUGCAAAAAUCUUGCAAAUGCUUUACCGUUAGGAUGCACGAUUUCAAAACUCUUGAAGCUCAAUAAUCUAUUUAAAAGCAUUAUACGAGUAGCCAGUAAAAUCAAAGCUUUUACGUACCUACUCCAAAAUUUGCUACAGUUCGUAUAAGGUCUAAUACAUUUUUACCUUCUAAUACUACUUACCAGUGCUCCUUCUGUUUCGUGUCGAAAUGAUACUAUAUGUUACUUUGCUGUGCGUUUCUUAUGGAAAUUCUUUUACCUGGGGAGGGUCUUGAAGUCCACAUUUCUUGUACUUUUCUGCAUAUUUCUUGUGAUAUCUUAUUAUUGUUGGACACAUUAAAACACCGACCUCUAGGAUCUUAUGCUCCUAAAUGCAAACCAUUGUUUCGCAUUGUAUCAGAGCUAGAAGUCUAAGUACAAGACUUUUCUGGCAUCUAGUCUAAUUUAAAUUUCUUCUAUUUAUCAAAAGGUCUCAAGCCCAGAUUUUAGUGAGAGUGUCGAAUAUACAAUAUUCAAACACCGUUCUGAAGUAGUUUACACUGCCUGAGGAAAUCGGUUGUUUCACAAUUGUAAUAUGGCUCUAAUUUUCCACUUAUUUACAAUUCUACUAUAGAAUGUUUAGCUGAGAAAUAAACGGCCCAUCGAUUCUUUUCAAUACACGUCAACCUUUUUCUUUUUCUUUUUUUUUUUUUUUUGUCUCUUUGACUUUGGAAUCCCUUCUGUUACUUGAUUUGUCCUUUGUUUAGGAAAUAAGAACGAAAAUACCAAAUGGUUUAAUGUUUGGUUGAUAUCUUAUAGCAUAUAUGCACCCUUUAGUCAAUUCUUCUAUUAGUUAGUUGUGCUCUGGCUAUCGUUGUAUUUUAAAGUUUAACCUCAUUGAUGAUGACAGCGACCUUAUUUUAACAUGGCAAGUUCAUAUUAACUAUCGAAAAUAUCUCCUUUGAUACAGUUUGGGGCUUUUUUUGCAAAUAGCCCUCUAACAAUUUUUUUUUUAAAAAUUGGCCAUGUAAAAAAUUUAUUUGCAAAAAUGGUCCUGGCCCCGCCACGCAAGCGCCACGUCAGCGCCACGCGGGCGGGGCUGGGCCAGAUGGUUAAGUUGAACACGGUGAACCAUUCACCGUGUUCAAUACAAAAUUUUUGUAUUGGACACGGUGAACCAUUCACCGUGUUCAAUACAAAGUUUUUGUAUUGGACACGGUGAAUGAUUCACCAUGUCCAAUACAAAAUAGUUAAGAUCGAAAUAUUUAUAUUGGACACGGUGAACCAUUCACCGUGUCCAAUACAAAUAAUUGGACACGGUGAAUGGUUCACCGUGUCUAAUACAAAUACCUCCAACUUAGCCAUUGUUGGGGUAUUUGUAUUGGACACGGUGAACCAUUCACCGUGUCCAAUACAAAAAUCUUGUAUUGAACACGGUGAAUGGUUCACCGUGUUCAACUUAAACAUCUGGGCCCGCUCUGCCCGCGUGGCGCUGACGUGGCGCUAGCGUGGCAGGGGCAGGGCCAUUUUUGCAAAUAAUUUUUGGACGGGGUUAUUUUUGCAAAUAAAAUUUGUCAGAGGGCUAUUUGCAAAAAAAGCCCUACAGUUUGGCUUUGGGAGCAAUUCCGUACUGUUUUUCUGUAUUUGUAGAAAGAAAUAGCAUAAUCCUUUAGACCACUGUUCUAAUGAAAGUUCCAACUAAACAUUAUAUCUUUAUGAGAAUUAUCUGUAUGGAAUCACUCUUCUGGCUCUGCAAUUACUGAACUUGUGCAUAUUUCCUUGAUUCAUUACUAUUUCCUUGUUUUAGUGUUUGUGACAAUUUAGCUGCUUACUUGCUUGAUAAGUUACUAUUGUCUGAGUCAACCUAAACAACACUGCUGUGCAAUUCUAAUAUUAUCAUUGACUAAUAUUAUUGAAAUAAUUUGUUUUCCUAUUUCGUGUCAUCUUGAGAUCAUUGAGAUAUGUGCUGCUGACUGCUGAAGUAAAUAUUACAAAUUUUUAACCAGUAAAAUGGAUGAUGCACUAUUUUGUUGAUGUUAAAAAUUACUCAACUAUUUGGUUUCCAUGCUGCUGCAAAUUUUAGUUCUUUCUAACCCAUCAUUUUUUUUUUUUUUGAUUUAGUAGUUUUUGUCAAAAAGUACCCAUGCAGAUGCACCAUUUUUAGCCCAUAAUUUUUUUUUUCUUUUUGUAACCAAAAAGUGACAGCGUUUGGUCUGAGUAGGAGGCUGAAUGGGCUUCUUUAUCUCUGUAAGCAGUAAGCUCCAAUUUGAAGUUUUUAUUUUUUUUUGCUUCAGUGUCAAUCUGCUGGAGGGUUUUAGUUCCAAAACUCCUGCCAUUCCAACCUGCCCCUUAGCAUUAGUAGAUGGUAAUCAAAGAAUUCCUGUUACUCGUAGUUGUUUCUUUCUAUCCUUUUGAUACUGGACUGCUGUAUCUGCAUAAGAACAGUGUCGUGCGAUUUCGUAAUUUUCUUGAUUGCUAUAUGGUCAUUAGCAGGUGCUAUUAUAUUUUAACAAUUCUUGUAUAUACAAAAUAUGCUUUAUAUAGCACUUUGGAAUGUGAACAUUUGCAGGUUUCACGAGAUGCUGUAACUGGCAUAAGUCGUGGAUGUGGUUUUGUUACAAUGAGUUCUCUAGCAGAAGCAAAAGCAGCAAUUUCUGCUCUUGAUGGAUCUGUAAGCUCUAUAACAGUUUUUGUGCUAAUUUUCAAAUCCAUUAAAUUUUCAAUUAUUUUAUAGUAAACUCUUUUCUCUUGCUAGGACCUUGGUGGGCGUGAAAUGUGUGUGAAAUUUUCGGCUGAUAUGGUCUCUGGAAGAAAAAAUACAGAGGCCUUAAAUACGACACCCAAGAAAGACAUUGUCUUUGAAAGUCCAUAUAAGGUCUAUGUGGGUAAUCUUGCUUGGUCUGUAAGACCUGAAGGUUUGAGGGAGCAUUUUAGCCAAUUUGGAACUGUUGUAAGUACUAGGGUGCUUUAUGACCGUAAAGGAGGGAAAAACCGUGUCUAUGGAUUUCUUUCAUUCUCUUCAGCUGAUGAACAGAAGGCUGCAAUAGAGUCGAAUGGAUCGGUAUAGUGCCUUUUUUGGUUCUUUUUUCAUUGGAGAAGUGAAUCAGGCCUGAAAAUUUGCUUUUUCUUUUUGUCUAGUUAUUUUUUGCUUUUUUGAUCAUUUAUUCUUCUGUUCUAUUGUUUGUCUUUUUUUUGCAUUGUCAAUCAUGCCUUAGGUACUUUAACAUCAAACUAUUGAUGGGCAUUUUCAUUUAGGUAAAUUCAUUUUUGAUUUGUACAAUUUUGAUUCUUCUUGUUAUGUUGUUAAUAGGUAUUUCAUGGGCGGACAAUGUUGGUUAGGGAAGUCGUCAAUAGGGAAGAAGCAUGAUGCCACAACUUGGUUUCAUUCAACAUCAAAGAAGCAGUUUCAUCCCUAUAUGAAGUAGUACUUUAUGUUGCUGCAAUCUUAUUUAUUGGAUCCUUGGUAUGAUGAAAAGGUGAUCUCGAGUUUCCAUUUAAUCAGCCGUUGUUAUUAUAUCUUGUCAUAUCUUGUAUCUUUCUUAUGUGUUAUGUAGUUUCUCUAUCUUGUUUUAGAGAAUACCUUCAUGUGAUUUUUUAACUGUCAGUAUAUAGUUUUGAAAGUUUGAUUUGAUUCUUUCAAAACUCAAUUUUCUAUUAUAUAUAGUGUCUUAUGAAUAACCGAUGGUUAGACACUUGCAAAAGAUGUUACAGAUGACAUUGGCCUUAUAGUUAGGGGGUGUUUGGCCUAGCUUCCUAAAAGUGAUUUUGAGCCCAAAAUUGAUUUGGGGCUCAGUAGAGCAUUUGGCUAUAAGAGUUCGAAAAUCUGAUUCUAUUUUUCAGAAUCUGAAAACUGAUUUUUCAAUCCCUAGAAUCAGAAGCAGAAAAAAGCUGCUUCUCCAAAACUGAUUCUUGCAAAAUCAGUUUUCCCACUUAAAAUUUUUAGAGAAGUACCCAAACUACCCCUAAACAAAUAACAUAAUUCUAUCUAUCAUUUUAUAUUCAAUUAAUAUUUUCAGCUAUUCUCUUCUCUCUUCUAUUCACUAUUCCCAUUCACUCUUCCCACAAAUAACUCUCUUCCCAACUCUUCCCCAACAAUUUUUUUUUUCACCUUUCUCUCUUCUCUAAUUCCAUCUCUCUCCUUUACUUUUUAUUUAACAGAUUCCCUCUAUCUUUCUCUCUUCUUCCAUUGCUUGGCGGGUUUGGCCGGAUCUGCACCGGCGGGAUCCGUCCUUGCUGGAUCCUGUCGGAUCUGUGCCGGCGGAAUUCGUCCUUGCCGGAUUUGGCUGGAUCCAGCCGGAUCCAUGUUGGCGGGUUACGUCCUUGCCGGAUCCGGCCAGAUCCUUGCCGGCAGAAUUCGGCAAGGCCGAAUUCGACCAGAUUGGGUGCUGUCGGCAUGAUAAAUGGGAAUGUGAUUAUAAAAAAUUAAAAUACGACGGAUUUGGGUCGAUUAAAAUUUUUAUUUGUAUUUCAGUAGAACUUAAAAUUAAAUUUGUAUUAAGAAUAUAUUUUAUAUAUAGAAAAAGUAUAAUUUUUAAACAUUUUGAUUAUUAAUAUACAUUAAUAAAUUAAUAUAAUAUUUUGUAUGUAACCUUCUUUCAUGUUUAAACCUAGAAAAUCACUUCAUUACAAAAUAAAUUAAUAAACUAAUGUUAAACAAUAUUACAAAAUCACUUUCGCAAAAAAAAUUUGCCAAACAACUUUCUAUAAUCAUUUUAGAAAAAUCACUUUUCUAUCAAACUCGGCCAAACGCUUUACAGAUUUUAACCAAAAUUACUUUUUUAAACCAAAAUCAAUUCUGCAAAAAUCACUUUUCUAGAAUCUAGGCCAAACGGGCCCUUAGUCUUUUGGAAGAAAAAAUAAAUACUUGAUAGCUUCGUUCGGAGGUUUUUUAAAGGGUAAAAUGCAAAGAUUGUACUUAGACUUUCACAUUAGCACCUUAAUAUGAAUUUGAAAAGUUUGUAAGUUAUGUAAUUUGAUCCCGUAAUGCCCAGUACUUAGACUUCCACAUUAAGGUGUUAUUUCUAAGCAUGCAAGUGUAAUUAGUAACAUCACAUCAAAGAUGAUCUGAUUAUAGUAGGAAGGGUACAAAGAUCCGAACUUACAAAAGAAAGUUGUAUAGAUACAAACUACUGUUGUAUGUAUGUCAAUCCAAAAGUACUAUAUACAAAGACAUUAACACAACCAUCAAAACGUUAUUUACUAUCUACCUAUGUAUCACGGACACUUCUAUAAGCCUUGCGUGUCCGUGUCAAACGCGCGCGUGUCCGUGUCGGACGCGUGUUCGAUGUGGACACUCCUUGGAUGCCUAUUUAAUGCCGCGCAUACAACUUAAAAAAUAUAUAUAUCUAUUUUUAUUUUACUUUUUCUAUACAUAUAUAAUGUAAGAUGAUAAAUAUUUUAGCUUUUUGAUGAAUGUAUACAAUUUCUUUUUGACAAUAUAAAUAAAUUAUGUAUGGUGGAGAAUUUCUUUUCUUAAAAUAUAUGAACUAUCAAUGAAUUUUACUAACUUCCAUUUGUAUGAGAAAUAUAAUAAUAUUUUACCAAAAUUAAUAUUUUAUACAUAAUAAAAAUAUAUUAUUAUAUUAAUAAUAUUAUAUUCUAUUAGCAGUGUCCAUGUUGUAUCCGUGUCCUAAUUUUUUAAAAGUUGUCGAGUCGCGGUGUUUGAGUCGUGUCGUGUCUCGUGUCCCGUGUCAGUGUCUGUGAAGCCUAGCUAUCUAUGCUAAGUCGUGCCUUGCCUUGUUCUUGUCUCAGCUUCGAAUUUGGAAAAAUGGAGUAGGGCAUCAACACUACAAGAAUAUUGUGUGAUUUCUACACCAUGUGUAGUAAAGAAAACAAAAAUUAUAGAUACUACAAAAGAAUAUCAAGAUAAAAUUAUUGCACCCGUAAAUUAGGGGUGCAUUUGCAGGGUGGAUCAAGUGGGGGAAGGGUUACCCCGGCUCCUACACUGCCAACCAAAACCCCACCCUACCUAUUGCCUCCUAGGAGUGUUCACAAUUUGACUCCAAACUGAAAACCAAACCGAACCAGACAAAAUAAGACAAAGCACAAUAAGACAAUUUGGUUUGGUUUAUAUGGUUUUCAGUUCGGUUCGGUUUUGAAAAUAACUGAAAUUAUGUUUUCAAUUUCGAUUCGGUUUUAACACUUCUCUUAACCGAACUGAACCAAAAAUCUGAUAGUUAUAUUGCUCAUUAUUUUUUUUAUUUAAACCAUAUAUAAUUUUGUUUUUGUGAUCCAAUCGUGAUCACAUAUCAACACACUUUUUAAAAUGGAUCUUGUGAUCUACCCUGCUUCCUGUUGGCGCUCCAAAUCCACCUUGCUAGCCAACUAAUUAUAUUGUCCCAAUCAAAUUGACUUCAAUUAAUUGUUUAUGAAACCAAAUCGACAUAAUUUCUCAACAAAAUAAAGAUGAAAAAAAAAUUGAAGCAUAAUCAACAUAACAAUCUCUGAAGAAAUUUUUUAUCAAAAGAAAAGUACCAUCUAGAUCUUAAAUUUUACGAACUAAUUUUAGUUUUGAUCAUCAAAAAAAAAAAAUGGAAGUAAUAAAAUGUAGAGCACGUGAAAGAGAGGUUGAGGUGCUUGGGCUCUCAGUUGUAGUAAAGGAGAUCGAAGCACUUGAGCUUACUGCAGUGAAUGACUGUAAGAUAGAGAUAGACCGACAAGCUAGGUUGUUCGUGAAAGAUGGGGAUGAGUCACACGUGUUAGAAGAGGGGAAAGUGCAAAAAUGUUGGCCAGAGAGGAUAUGGAGGGGAAUGGAAUGUCGGCAAACAUGAUUGGAGGAGAGGAAGAUUUUGAGAGUGGUAGAGAUUUAAGACUUAAGAAAGAAAAUAGAGAUUAUGGGAGGGCGGUGUCGAUUCCUAGGAGUAGGAGAAGUGGGUUUCUUUGUAAAUAGAUGUUAACUUAAUAGAUAUAUAGAAAAUCAUUAGCAGUUUUAGAGAAAGAUUUGGGGUGCAUCCCAGGCAAAUCUUGGCAUGGCGGAUUUAGGGUGGAUCAAUUUUUCUUCGUCUCCUGCUCUGAAUAUAUCUAGGACUAAGAAAAAAUUUUCAUUUACUACCUGAAUAUGUUAUUUACAGGCCCCCACAUACUGUCCCAUUAGAUGUGGAUUAGGCCGAGAGCUCCGCCAAUCUGGAUCCAUCUGCAUCCCUACUGUAAAUAUAGUAUCAUUUAAGUCUAACUAGUUACCAAUAUUGUGCAUUCUUAGAAUAAAUUCGAAAUCCAAACAUUACAUGCUAUGCUGUCACAUGUAUCCUUUGUGGACUCUUUCUCAUUUCGAGCCGUCAUUGGGCAAUCUUGCUAACGGUACCUCUUGGAAGAUUGCCUACCCAUGCAUAUUGAUCAGAGGAUUGUUCUAUUACUGCUUGGGGUAUAAACAAGUCGAACACGAGCGAGCUAACCCUAGUUGGAGAUCAGAUCUAAAUUACUAUAGGCUGGUUCGUGACCAGUUGAAAAAGCCUCGCUUCUGAUCGGAUUGCAAUUUAUUCAAGCUAGCUUGUGUUCAUCUCGUCAGUUCGAUUAGUUUACCAAGCUGAGGUAGCUCAUAUAUGACUCGAAUUGUUUACAACUCGAAAUUUAAAUCUCAAAUUGAUUAGUUUAGAAAAUUGUCAUUUUUUUGCAUGAAAAUUUUAAAUCUCAACUUUGCGUUUGGAACUUUGUUUCAGUGAAACUUAGACCACCGCGUUUGUCUCUGAGUAUAGGUGUUCAUAGUAUCCUUAACUUUUGAAUUUCGUAAAAUAUUUUAUUUGGAGAUUACAUUCCGAAGGCGAAAUGGUCAGUUUCUUGGAGAUAACUGCACGCGUAGUGCCGAAUUUGGAAACCCAUAAUUUUUUGCUCAAAACUCCGAUUUCAAUGAAACUUGGCUUCAGAUGUUUUGUUUCUGAGUAUACUUGCGUAUAGAACUUUCCUUUUGCGAAAAUUAUGGAAAAAGUCACAUGAAAUGAUGGAUUGAUCACGAGAUGGUCGUUUUUCCGAAUUUUUUCGGUUUUACCGAAAACUUCCAAAUUCCAAAAAAGCAUCAGGAUGACCAUUAAACCUCACAAUAACACUCCAUUUUGUGCUAGGGGCCCUCAAAAGCCGGAGAUUAGUUUUGUUGGAAUUGGCUUGUUUUUUAUUAAACAAAAAGCAAAAUUACAAUUUAGUCCGUUAUUUAUUACAACCAUGGGGUCAGUUUUUGGGAUGUGAUCUAUUUGAUUGCAGAAUUUAUUUUUGGUGAUGGGAUUUAUGGUUAAUUAGUGGUUUUGGGGUUCAUUUGCCAUGAAUAGCAUACGAGCCAGACUGAUCCAGGGCAGGACAGCAGCCUUCACGCUUUGAAAAUUCAUAGGUACUGAAACAUAGAAUGAAGACCAGAGACUUUGGGGAACAGAUCUAAUGUUGAUGAGUUCCAAGAAUGAAUUGAUAAUGUGUAGCACUUUAAUUGAACCAACAAAGAGAAGAGGAUGAAGUUUGUGACUGUCAAAAUGGAGAAUGCUAGUUUUGCUUGGUUACAAGAUCUUUGAGGCUUAGUGUCAGAAAGAAAAAUUUGUAUGUGGUGAAAAUGAAUGUAAGGCUUCGUUUGGGAUUGCGGGGAGAUUGCGUUACGUGCGGUGAGAAACGACGAUGGGAAAAUACCCAGUUUGUUUCCGUACGUAAUAUUGCGUUCCGCAUAUCGCGAUGAGUCGGUUACGAUAUAUUUUCUGCGGUCCCAUCGAAGAACGCAGAAAAUAUCCCUAUAUGCUUUUUUCUCAAUUCCAUUUUAUCUAAUAGUGUUAGAUAGACCUCAAUACCAAACUAAGCCUAAGAUGAAUUGCAAAUAUUUUGCUGCUAGGCUAGCUGUAGCCUCCUAGAGAUUUUCAGUGUUAAUUGAAUAAUAAGUUGGCUAGAUUUUAACUCACUUUGGUUAUGUGUCUUAGACUGAAAAGAUUGUAUGUUACAUCCCUAAAUUUAUGUCCUGUAUCUGAGAUGAUACAAGGUUAUCUGCACUUACAAGUCGAAAGCUAACAUAGAGAUGUCUUUGAAGCAAAAUACUACUAGCGUUAUGAAUGGUUCUGUUUUUAAACGGAAGUUGAACCAAGCCGCUUAAAGUAUUUCAAAAACAAAAAAAAACUGAACUUACAUGAAAGUAGCAUUGUAGUAAAAUCAGACUAACAGAACUUGAUAGAUUGUCUUUCUCAGUUUGGCUUAUCUGUUCCAUGUUUCCAGUAUUGCUUUAUAGUAAAUAUAUGACCCUAUGUUAAAGUUCACAUAGUGUUGUACAGUAUGGUGGUUAGGUUUAGCAGUUUUUAAUGAGAGAAUAAGUUCCUAGUCAUCAGAAAGGUGUGUAUCUGCAACAUAUUAUAAAAACAUAUACACAUUGGUUUGUAUCACGAGCUAGCUGAGCAAAAACUGAAACCAAUUUGAAUCAAAAUGGAUUAUCAUUCUUGGAACCAAAACUAAAACAAUAAUUUUCUUGGAAUUAAACUAAAACCAAGGAUUUAUUUCAUGGUUUGCUGUUUUGCAGGUUAUUUUGCAAAUCUGUAGAUACCACCACCUCCCAAUGCUCAUGCUUCUUGUUGGUUAGGGUCUUGUUACUACGAGUUGGCACUGAAUCAAAUUAUUUAGACGCUUGAAGGAUAUUCUUCUGUUUAUUUUGUACUAGUCAGCUGUACUUUCAUGCAACUUCAUCUUUAGGGCACGUCCAUAUGAGGCUAAAAUUUAAAGCAAAAUUUUUCUAGAGUAAAAUUUCAUUAGGUGAAUGUUACCCUUGUUAUUGUUUGUAAAUUAAAUUUUUUAUUGUACUGUGAACAAGGGGAAAUUUUUAACCUCUUAACAUUUCAUGAAGUUUGGUUUAAUCAAGACUUUGGUGGUAGCUAGUAGAGAUGAAGGUAUUGCCGGUGGUAGUGCUUUGUGUUUGCUGUAGGUGCCAGUGAUGGCCAAAUAUGGGUGAAUAUGCCUGUUGGUGGCGGUAGUGCUGCCAUGGUGGUGUGCUGGUAACAAUUCCUAUUCGUCUUAGUUUGAGAUUAUGGUGGUAGCCGGAUGGUUGUUGCUUGUUGGCAAUGUCUGAUUACUGUAAUUGUGGUGGCGGGCCUAUUAACCAAGAUUGCUUGGGAGUAAUGAUGGUAGCCUGGUAGCUUAUUGUUGCGACCCUAGUGGCUGCCGAUGGUGGCUCGUUUGCUAUUUAUGGUUGAUAGUUGGUUAUGAUAGUUAUAGUCGUCGGCGCUCAUAGAUUCUGUUAGUGGUUGAUCAUCAUUUUUGAUGGGUGUGGCAACUAUAUGUUGGUUGUUGCUUUUGACAGCAAUGGCUAUUAGUGUUUGGUGACUAUGGUCAUUGCGAUAGGUAGUAAUAGCGGUGAUUGGUGAUGUUUGAAAUUUUGCCCUAAGUUGAUGGGAUGGUGUGGGAUGCUGUAUGGUGGUAUAGUCCUUGUGGUUAAGGUUCAUUGGCAGUAUUGCUACUCGUUUGAUGGCGUUUGGGGGUGUUUUAUCAACAGUUGCUAUUACUAACCGCCAGUGGUAUUUUGUGGUCAGUAAAGCCAAACUGUCAUUGAUAAUGUUAGUGAUGGUCAAUUUUGGUGAAGGUGGCUAUUAGGUUGCAUAAUUUUCACAUACGCAUUCGAAUUUGCUCGUAGUCCUUUUAGUUAACCUUGACUCUCGUCAGAGAAAAGAAAAUACAAUGCUUCUUGUGGUUAAAACAUAACUAGUCCUCGAAGUUUCCCUAGAGGCGCAGAAGUCCUUUGGUUUUUUAGAAAAUCAAUUAUUAUGAUGUGAAAGAAUUUUCUGAUCUUUGAUGUUAAAGAGGCUACACAAAUAUACACACAAAGGGAUCAAAAAGAGAGAGAGAGAGAGAGAGAGAGAGAGAGAGAGAGAGCCUCACUAAAACAAACUGUUAGGGCAUGUUUGGUUCAUGAUUGGAACAUGAAUGUGGAAUGGAAUUGGAUUCCUUUGGAAUGCUUUGGAAUGGAAAAUGGAAUGACGAAUCAUCCAAAAAUAUUUGGUUCAUUAUUGGAAUGGAAAUCGAAAUGAGAAUUUAGAAUUUUUGAGUGAUGAUUUUGAUUAAGAGAGAGGAAAGUGAUGAAGCGAGAGGAGGUAAGUGUUAUGAAAGAGGAUUUUAAAUAGUUUAGGAAAAACUUCAAAUACCACCCUAUGGUUUCGCACUUUUUCACUUUAGUAUUGUGGUUGAAAGUGUAUCACUUUCGUACCCUGUGGUUUAUUUUUCUCUUUUUGUUAUCCCCUUCACUAUUUUUUUUCGUUAAAAUAGUGACAAAGUUAAAAUUAAAGGGUACUAAAAUGAAUAUUCGAUAAACUAUAGGUGGGGUAUUUGAAGUUUUUUGUAUAUGAUUUAAUGAAAAGUUAAUGGAGGGGCUGACGAAAAUAGAAAAAUGAAACCAUGGGUACUAAAUUGAUACACUUUAGAGCAUAGGGUACUAAAGUGAGAAAGCGCGAAACCAUAGGAAUGGUAUUUGAAGUUUACCGCAUAGUUUACUUUGGAAUGAGCCAAUUUGAGAUUCAAAGCCGGAUUGGGCUAUAAAAGGAUUUGGCUAUUCCAAUUCCGGAGUGGAAUGUGAAUCGAAAUCCGAUUCCUAUGAAACAAACGACAAUUAUUGAAAUUAAUGAAUUAUAUUUCGAUUCCAUAGUCUAAAAUAGGUGAAUCAAACAUGCCCUUAGUGUAAGAUAAUUCAGUAUGUGUGGUUUGGGCCAAAAUUGCUUGUGAUAGUUGUAUAGAGUAAGUAGCAUUUUCUGAAAGUUUAAAAUCCAGGUAUAAGCUGAUCGUUCACAUGCCUCAUACUCUUUAGACCCUUGCAAAUUUAGUUGCUUAGAAGCUUUCCCUUCUGUGACAAGUUCAAGUUUUUUAUUUAACAAAUUUUGCGUUGAAUGACUUUGUGUAAACUCAAGCAGAGGCUCUAUAAACGUACCUUGUUGAAUUUGCCGUGUGUAUGAGAUGCAUUGCUCAAAGUUGUAAGAACUCUGAACCCUUUCCAUAUAUAUUGGUUGUGCAAUCUAAGUUGCUCAUAUUAAUGCGACUUCACACAUUCAAAUUUAGUUCCACACCAAAAUUCAUCUCUAGUGCCUCUUUUCUUGCUGCAGGAUUUUGAAUGGAAUUACAUAUUGCUGUGGCGAUUGUUUGUUCAUGAGCCAGCAUCUGAUUUGCAGGUCUUAUUGACAGCUGCUCUUUCUUUACCAACUCAUGCGAGUUUUGUAGGUCUUCUGGAUUUGUUGAGUGCAUUACUUCUUUUUCUUAUUGAUUGCAGACAUCUCAAUUCACAGAUAUACUCGAUCACAUUUCAUCAAUUUGUACAAACAUAGUUCGAGGAUCCAACUAUUUAUUAGAACUAAUGAAUUUGAAGCUUGAAUUCCUCUAUUGUGAUUACCAAGAUGAAAGAGAUUUAAAAACACAUACUCUCAUGAUGGGACACAUUCUGAAUGAACAUCAGACUAAGGCGAUCACUUCAAUUGGAACUGUCAAAGGUAGAAAUUCGGUUCAUCUGGAUUAGUUGUACAGCCCAACCGAAGAUUUAAUUAUGAUUAGCAAUUAAGGUGAUUUUUUUUAAUUUUUAAUUUUAAUUUUUUUUGGCAUUUAGUGUUGAUGUGCUGUUACUACAUUGUAUCCAUGUUUGACUACUUACUAAUUCCACCAAGAGCUCAAUAGCUAACAUUAGCAAACAAAAUAAGACAGGCAAUUUAUUGAUAAAAGAGUGAGAGCAUACUAUCAGAUACUACAAUUGUUUCGAUACAUAGUUGUCUUUUGGGUCUGUAUAUAACUUUGUAUGUUUUUGGGAUUUACAUUCCACAAAAUACUCUCCUUAUAUUCAAAUGACCUCUUUAACUUUUUUAGCAUAUUAAAGCGCAAGAAGAUCGGUAUAAUACUUUCCAAGUCAACUGUAUUUGGCCCUGGACAACAAUUUAUGCUGGUUCUUUUCCUUCAUUAUCUUAUCCGUGUUUAAGAUUUAUCUUUUACAUUUUAUACUAAUCAAUUAUCCCUAGUUUGGAUGUUGUGCUUGGUUUUGACACCCUUAUUUCUAGGGUGAACUUCAAACGACCAUUUUGUAGUUAAGAGCUUUUUUACUCUGUCGCUACGUAGUUUCCAUCAUCCAUUUUUCAUACUUGGUGGUUUUAUAUUUAUUCACCUUAUGCAUGUAAUAUAAACAGGGUAGGAAAGUGUUAUGCUCAUCACGGACCACACGGUGGUAAAGUGUAAAUUAUAGGCUAUUAAUAUUGUAUUGGAUUAAAUUUCGUAGGUCCUUGUGAAAAUUUCGAAUAGUAAACAAAUUUCUACAAAGUUUAAGUCGUCAAUUUUAUUCCUUCAAAAAGUUCAAACAGUUUCAAAACUUGGUUUAAGGGAUAAAUUUGUUAAAUAAUAUGAAACAACAGUUUAAUAUUUAUACCAACAUAUGUUUUUAAUAUUUGUAUUCAACACUCUUCGUUACGUUUGGACUUGGGACACUGUACAUCUAAACUCUAGACAUUUUGAUAGACUUAAGGUGUAAAUUUGAAUUAAAUAGAAAGAAAUUAAUAUUUAUAUUUAACAGGAGUUUUUAAUAUUUAUAUUCCACACUCUCCCUUGUGUAUGGACUUGUUACAUAUCGCUCCUAAACUCGAAACAUUUUGAUAGAUUUAAGACUUGGAUUUGAAUUAAAUAUAAUGAAACUAAUAAUACUAAGAGUUUGUCGUGACUCGAACUUAAGACAUUCUAUUUUGAUACAAUGUCAAAUAAUAUGAAAAUACUAUUUAUCUCCAAAAGUUUAAGUUACCAAAAGAAAAGUAUUUUUGAUAUUUACAUUCAACAAUUGUAUUUAAACCCUCCAAACAUUUGUAUUUGCAAUUGGUGCAAUAUCAAGUUUCGUUGUGUUGAGUAUCGGUAUCGAACAUUAGUAUUGGUACAUUUACCCCGUGUACUAGUACUCAAGAGCAGUUUCGCAAAAUUUGAAUCCUGAAAUCAACCACUCACUAUAGUCUACUGGCACUCCCAAUCUUCAGUACUGAUACUCUCAACUUCAGUACCGGUGCUCAGUGAAGUUCUACAAAAUCUAAGAGUUUUUCCAACUAAUUGAUAGCUGAGUACAACUAUCCCAAAUUUCCAUACUAGUAUUAACAACAAAACUGCAGUUGGUCGAUUUUGCUUUCAUGAGUUCACUUUCGUGCCGUUUUCAUGCUGAUAACACUCUAAGACUCAAACACAACUAGAACAAUUAAAAUAAUAUUAAAUACUAUUUUUUACUGGAACUCCGCUGUUUAAAAAAGUUUAGUGCGUUGCAUUUGUAUCUUGAAGAAAAAGGAGUAAUAAUAAAAGCCAUAGACUAAUAUUUCUCAGAAUUUGCACAGACUGCUAUCUUAAACAUGAUUUGUGCAUUUCUAUUGGCGCUUUUUGGUGUUUCCUAUGUAAAACCCUUCUUAAAAAAGUAGGGAUAGUAUCUAAUAAACACUUUAAAACUUUAAGAUGGUGGAGAAAGAAGAACUUUUAAAGAGUUUGAGCCCUACAAAAAUGGAGAUGCCUACCUGCUUGGAUUUCAAGCCCACGUCAAUUUCUGUUGACCCAGUUUUUACACGAUUGUAUUGUUAGGGCCUGUUUGGCCUAGCUUCUGAAAAAGUGAUUUUAGUUUGGAAAAAUAAUUUUAGUAAAAAGCUGUACAGCGUUUGACAGAGUUUAGAUAAAAGUGAUUUAUUUGAAGUGAUUUCAAAAAGCUGUUUGGCAAACUUUUUUUGAUGUUUGCAUAAAUUAAUAUUUUUAUUAAAUUUUAUUUUAAAAUAAUUUAAAAUCUAAAUUUAAAUUUGAAUUAAAAUUAAAAUUUUUAAAUUUCAAAAUUGUACAAAAUUUAAAAUUUGAUAUUUUAAUUUAAAAAAUAAUUUAAAAUUUUAAAAAUUUAAAAUUAUCAUGAAUUAAAAUUAAAAAUAUAAAUAUAAAUUUAAAAAUAUAUAUAAUUAUGAAUUUUAAAUAUAAAUUUAAUAUAUAAAAAUAAAAAUUUAAAAUAAAAUUUCAAACUUUAAAUUAGAAUUUAAAUUUUAAAAUUUAAAUCUAAAUUUAAAAUUUAAAAUUAAAUGUAAAAAUAUAAAUAAUUAGAAAUAUAAAUAUAAAAAUUAGUAUUUAAAAUAUAUUUAAAUUUUAAUUUAAAUAAUUAAAAUUAAAUUAAAAAUUAAAAUUUAAAAUUAAAAUUAAAAUUUAAAAUAAUUAUGAAAUUUAAAAUUUAAAAUUAAAAUUGAAUAUUUAAAAUUUAAAUUUAAAAUUUGAACAUUUUAAAAAUUUAAAAUUUAAAAUUUAAAAUUUGAAUAUUUAAAAUUUAAAAUUAAAAUUUAAAAUUUAAAAUUAAAAUUUAAUAUUUAAAUUUAAAAUUUUAAAAAUUUGACAUUUAAAUUUAAAUUUUAAAAUUUGCGAAUUUAAAUUUUAAAAAUUUGAAAUUUAUAAUUUGAAGAUUAAAAAUUAUAAUUUGAAAUUUGAAAUUUAAAAGUUAAAAUUAAAUUAAAAUUAAAAUUCGAAAUUUAAAAUUUGAAAUUUGAAAUUUGAAAUUUGAAUCUGAAAAUUAAAAAUUAAAAUUAAAUUUAAAUUUAAAUAUUGAAAUUAAAAUAAAAAUAAAAAUUUGAAGUUUUAAUUCAAAAUCAGAAUCAGAUUUCAAGAAGCAGUUUUUUUCUGUUUCUGAUUCUGGGGUCUUCAAAAGCAAUUUUCUGAUUCUAAAAAGCAGAAUCAGAUUUUAAAAGUGAGUUGCCAAACGCUCUAUUGAGCCGAAAAUCACUUUUCAGCCCAAAAGCACUUAGGCAAAACACGCUCUUAGUUUGUUACAGGGAUGUCAACGUGCCCGAUUCAGGGCGGAUUUUAAAAAUACGAACCUGUACUCGAACCCGACUUCAAGCCCGAAAUCUGAACCCGAACCCAAACCUGAACCCGAACCCGACGGAUUUUAAAAAUCCAUAUCCAAAUCCGAAUCCGAUAAAAAACCAAAAACCCGAACCCGAAACGAAACCCGAAAAUCCGAACCUGAAAUAAUUAUUUCUCUUUUCAAUAUUUCAAAAUAUAUUAUAUUAAAUUUAAAAUUUCAAAAUACGAAGUCAAAUAUAAUAUCAAAUUUUCAUAUACAUAUUAUAUAUAAUAUAAAAUAAAUUCCGGUUCGGAUCGAAUUUGGGUCGGGUUCGGAUUCGGGUUGGGUAUAGUCAAAAUCUAUAUCCAUAUCCAUAUCCGUCGGAUUUUUAUUUUUGAUAUCCAUAUCUGAAACCAUAUCUAUUUAACAUCAGAUAAAUUAGUUGCAUUCGAAUUGAGAUUCGGAUAAAAUUUCGGGGUAUCCGUAGCCAUUGAAAUCCCUAGUUUGUUACCAUGUACGAGUUAAAGCAUGCACUGCUGCCUCCGUCUCCCUAUGCUUUCCCUGUAUUUUAUUUAUUUUUUCUUUUUUCGGUUUUUAGUUUUUCACUUUUGUUGCCUUUUUCACAAAAAUCAAAUAUUUCUCUUUCCCAUUAUAUUUUACCACUUUUACUACCUUCCUAAGUUUGGUCUAUCUUAUUUUAUUUUAUAUUUUGACUCGCAAAUAGCAUGCCAUCUAUUUGGUUUAUAUUUUAAGGUUGCAAUUGAUUUCGGUAUAAAAAUUACUUAUUUCAGAGAAAGGUACAAGUUCAGAUAUAAGCAAGAAUUAGAUUAAUUUGCAUUUAGAGCAAAAUCCGGUUAUUCCUGAAAAUAAGCUAAAUAGUGUUUAUAUGGUUAGGCUUAGUUUGGUAUUGAAGCCUAUCUAAUGCUAUUAGAUAAAAUUGAGUUGAGGAAAAAGCAUAUAGUGAUAUGCUUCUACGUUCUCAAGUGGGACUGCAGAAAAUAUAUCGUCUCAUCGUGAUAUGCGGAACGUAAUAUUACGUAUGAAAAUAAACAUGAUAUUUUUCAAACGUACUUUCUCACCGCAUGUAACGCAAUUUUCCUGCAAUUUCAAACAAUGCCUUAGAUUGGAACAUGAGGAAUAAGACUUACAAAUUUAAAUUAAAAAUAUUUUAUCUAAUUAAUUAACAUUAAAAUAUUAAUUAAAAAAAUUUAUAAAUUAAUAACUUUAUUAAACAAAUAUUGUAUAAGAUAAUGAACAUAUAUAUUAAUUAAUUAAUUAAUUAAUUAUAAAAAAUAAUUUAAUUUUUUAAUUAGUUAGUAAAUUAUUUUAAUUUGAUAACUAAUAAAAAAUUAACUACAUUAAUAAAAAUUUUAAUGGUUGAUCAAUAUAAAUAUUAUUUUAUGGAUAAAUACAUUAAAUUAUUAAUAAUUUAUUAACUAAUUAUUUAUAAGUAAUAAAUUAAUUAAUUAUUUAUUAUUUAAGUAAUGGAUAAUGAUUUAAAUAUAUUAGUUAGAUUAAUUAAUGAUUUAAUACCAUAAUUAAAAUUAAAUUUAGAUAUUAAUUAACCUUAUUCCCAUUUGAGAACAAGCUUGUUUCAAGAAAACGGAUGGAAAAGCAGUUCCAGGCUUAUACCGGAUUGUACCAGCUUAUUACAAGGAUCCAAUAACUACUGUUCCCGAAUACGAAAAUUUACAUUUGGGAACAAAAAGGAAAAGAAGGGUUUAUUCCUCUCUUGUUCCCAAACCAAACACUGCCUAAAUGAAUGAACUUCGCAAAAAAUGUAAAAUAACUAGACUUCAAAUGUACAUGGGAUUUCGGAUACCAACCAUAAAGCCCUUUGGGAUAUUGCGUACCUAAAAUUCUCUUCUAUUAUUAUCUCACUUUAUAAUAUUUAAAUUAUUUUUAGGAAAAACUUCAAAUACCACCCAUGUGGUUUGGUGCUUUUUUAUUUUACUACCUUGUGGUUUAAAGUGCAUCAUUUUGAUAUCAUGUGGUUUUGUUUUUCUUUUUUUUAUCCUCUUCGUUAAUUUUUUUGUUAAAUUAGUGAAAAAAGUUAAAACCAUAUAGUACUAAAGUGAAAAUUCGGUAAAUCAUAGGAUACUAAAGUAAAUAUUUGAUAAACUAUAGGGUAUGUAUCUGAAGUUUUCUCUAUAAGUUUUAAUGAAGAGUUAUGCUAACGGAAAGAGAAAAAUAAAAUCGCAAGAUAUUAAAGUGAUACACUUUAAAACCAAAUCAGAUCGAAACAAAAUCCCAAAAAGAAGGAAAUCUGAGUUGCAGACUUUUUGGAUGCAUAGAACAGGAUUCGGGCACCUGAAAUGAUUUCAAAUGGCCUAGUAGAGCACCUGGAACUAACGGAUGCACUUCCAGAGAGUAAAGUUGCGAGGAGGCCAACUUUCAUGCGUCCGAAUUUUCUUAUGGGCGCUCGGAUCUUUUCAGAUCCUACUUGAGGGUGUCUGGAAGUGUCACGCCUUGGGGUCACUUUUUUGGAUUUAAAAGCCGAUGCAAAAGUGCCUUUUUUUCUUUUCUUUUUUUUAAAUCUUGACCCCCGAGUAUGUCAGAUCCGUCACAAAUAUAAUGAAUCCACUGUUCACACGGAUAGAGUCCUCCCUGUAUUUGCACGGCGUCGCACAAGUACAAGAUACAACCACAUAGUAUGAACAUCCAUAUACAAUCACCAUUCACAUUCACCAUUCAUUUCAUCACAGAUAAUCAUAAAUUCACAUCUAUUAGUUUAAAACGUUUCCCACCCAAAAACUUAUUUUAAAACAUUAAGAAUCACGAAAACCAGAAAAUUCUUUUUAAAACCGUUUUCCACACGGAAAGCUUUUCUUUUAAAACACGCUACUACGAGGGGUAGAAAACCGUUUUCAUCUCAUAAGAAAAAUCAUAAGUACUUUAUUACAUUCAAAAACCACAUGAAUUCAAAUAAAGUAAACCAACUUAACCAUAAAUACUAAGUCAAUUACUUUGAGAAAGACAGGUUAAGAAUUAAACUAAAUCAACGGGUUGGUAGCUCUAUCGAUCGCUAAAAUACGCUCCUCACACACUGUCCCGACUCGAACCCGCGACGUCACCUGAAAGGAGGGUCGGGGGUGAGAACAUGUAUAUAUAUCUCCCCUCCUAGUAGGUACCGCAAGCCGACGAGGACGAGGGAUACUCACCAGUCAAGGAGGAUAACUACAAGUAUAGAUAAUGGUAAUACAGUAGCAAUGAUAAAAAGGAACGAGAUAUAUAUAUGAAUCACUACUGCUACUAUAUGCAUGAAUCAACUGGACGAUAAGUCCAAAAGUACCUAAUCAGAAACCUAUCAUGUUGGUCCGCAGACUUUAGGCCUGUGCCACUGCCAAUCUACCUGCAUAUAACCCAGCCUAGGCCUCCGGGCUCACGGGUUGGUAUGUGUAAUAUUUAAAAUUUGAUCAAUGAAGGAAAUUCGGAUUUGAAAAUUUGAAAUUCAAAUAUAUAUAUAUAUAUAUAUAUAUAUAUAUAUAUAUAAUGUGUUCGUGGGUGUGUGUGUGUGUGUGUGUGUGUGUGUGUGGUUAUAGUGUGGAUCGCGGAGAGGGUUGGUUUUGUCGCAAAUUGGCAACCAAAUCGGACGAAACAAGAUUGUAGAUUUGAUGCCCCAGUCGUACUGAACGCGCCGGUGCGAUAUGAUCGAAAAUCUGACGAACAGAUCUCAGGAAAUCGCGAAAUGUUCGCUGAGGGGUCGAAAUUGGCAAAACGAAAAAUUUGCGAAAAGCCCACAUUUUAUGUACAGUUUUGCGUGAUUUCGAAUGUCGAGGUUCGUAUGCGCAAAACGCUCGUGCUGUGAGGGACUUGGCCAGAAAUAUGCAGCUUUGGAGGACUAAACUGCAUUUUGGCCAACCUGUAUAAAAGCUAGUAUUAGGGUUUUCAAGAAAACCCUAACCCUAGCUGCCUCUACUUCCUUUAGCUGCACCCCCUGUAGCCUCCACCACUUCCCAGCACCUCACCACGCGCACCUCGGCCGUCGAAAAAGGGCAGCAUUGUCUCCCUCGACCUUCACUCCACUCCUCGGGACUCCCCUCCCUGGCUGAGACCCGACCUCCGGCGCCGUCCCCGCCGGCCCCACCGUUCGCGUCUACCGCCGGCGCCGCCUGAGCCAUCCGUGGCCACUUGUGGGUAGCUUGGGCCGAGCUUGAGCCAGCUCCUGGCGACGAGCUGCCGCUGCCUCGUGGUCGGCCGCGCCGCCCUCCUGGGCCUCCGGCCCGCAGCGUCUCCACGCAUCGCCACCGCCCACCGUCAGCCGCGUUGCCCUCCCUCGGCCUCCGGCGAUUAGUCGUCGUUGCCCCGGCGCUCCCCCGGCCGCCGCCUGGAAGCCGUUGCACCUUGAACCCGAGUCGAGGCCGCACGGGCUCGUGCAGCUCCACCGCGCCACCGGCCGCCUCCUGCCGCCGACCAGCGCAUGCCCAGGCCGAUCCCCUCAUCCUGUCGGCGCAAAGCCUCGGCUUGAAGUAGCGCUACGCUCGACUGUCGCUCCACCACGCCAACUAAAGUGGCCAACUGCUCUCUCAACUCCCGAAUCUCGCCGGAUCGGAGGGAUGCAGGCUUCUCCGGCUUGGUCGCCUCGGCUGCCGUAGAGUGUAUCGUCGACAUCACAAGCUGCAACAAACAUAACAAGCACAGGUUAAAACAACCCAUGCUAUCGCAGCCCCACUCAUAACUACAAUAUCCCAAUCAUGCGAAAGUAAUGAAGUGACCUCUCACUAUUCCUCGAGAUCAUGUUAUCAGCUGCCAACAUUAUCUUACAAGGACAUAGAUGUUAUCCAAUUCGAUCCAACUCCAACACCUUUGGAGUUACAAAUAUGACCCAAUCAUAAUACUUUCGCCGACAAAUGGUCCCAAAAUACUCCGUCUCUCACGUUCCUAUUCCUUAUCGUCCAACCGUCCAAAGGUUUGCUAGGUCCUCUAAGACUCUACCCUAGGCUCUGAUACCACUAUAAUUUGUCACGCUCCGGCCAAGCGGAAGCCCACCUGAACGCGUGCACAGACCCGCCGUGUACACCAAACAACCACGAUGCACACAAGACGUCUACUAAAUAAGAACGAAUAAGAACAAGUCCUAACAAGGCUAUCAGAGCGAGUAAUAUAAAAUGACUAAUGUUCUAACACAAAGAGAUCCACAAAAUAUACAAAAUAUAUACAACUAAAUCCAAAAGCCUAACAAUAUCUCUAAAUCAAAUACAUAAUACAUCUUUCUACAAGAUAGAAAAAGAAAGAUGACAUCGGGUCCCUCUAAAUAUCUCCGUAGGGACUUUAGCUAGUCGUUAACCCCUUGCCACGAUCCCUAGCAUCUCCCACCGCGGAAGGGUCUGAAACAAAAACAAUCAACAAAUGGGGGUGAGAACUAUUAAACAAUAGUUCUCAGUGGGUAAGCCGUCGAGAGUGGCGAAAUACACUACUAGGUCAACUGAGGCAUGCUAUAAAGGGGGAAGUAAACAAUAUAUAUGAAUGACAAGUAAAUAAACAUAUUCAUUUCAUAGUUAUGCCUCCACUAAAGGAUUUACUAUCAAGUACAUGAUAUUCUAAUUUCAUUUAUUUAACUAAGUGCCAAUGUCCAUUUACAUGCACAUUCAACUAUAUGCCGAUGUUAGUUUACAUGCAUGUUCAUUAUGUCCAUAAUGCUACAAAGAGUAAAGUAUGCUUUUCUUUGCUAUUCUAGCCAUGUAUUUAUACCAAUCCACAUAGGUGUAGGUUUACUACCACUAAGGUGGUCAAUGUCAUAAUAUCCCAAAAGCGUCCAACUACUAUGAAUGCAUCAAGUAGUAAAAUAAGGUAGCAAACCACAAGUAUGAACAUCUACUAUGUAUGCAUCAACUACGGUGAUGUACAAUGUCAAAUUAAGUCUCAAUACCCAAUUUACAUGGAACGUACACGUGGUAACGUCCCGGCUCGUGCCGUGCCUUAGUAGCCCCGUGGGGGUCAUCAUUUUCUCCGCAAGAAAAGAGACUCCGCCCACGGCAUCCCACUUCGGUGCCCAAUCCCGCACGAGCGAUCUAUCGUUACAAGGCUAAACUCCGGAGUGCCGGCUUGUAGGGAGCGACCCUCACAAGCAUGUGCGAAUAAGCACAAGGGCAAGCAAGCGUGAUCAUAACAUAGGGUCCACAAUUUGGAAUACUCAAUCAUCAUGUCUAAAACAUGAAAAUUUUCACACAUCGCCUCGACGGUCGGGUACUAGAUCAUUCAUGUCAUGUCAUGUCUUGUUCACAACUACUUGGGUGGUAUGUCCCUACCAACACAUAUAAUGCCUAAAGCAUGCAUAGUUCAUAUGACAAUAUCCUAUCUAGGAUAGUUCACUAUUUUAUCCAAGACUCCAAAGAGAUUCGUAACAUGCAAUUUUAAUAAUUGUUAAGAAGCAUUUACUAAUGCCAUAUGCAAGAGGAUUAUGAAGUGUCCACAAAUACCACAAUGCAUGUCAUGCAUAUGUCUUUCCACUAACAUCCCCACUACAUAGAGUAGAAGCAUUAUGAUGCAAAUGAUUAAUUCCACUAGUAUUACAUGAAAUCAUCUCUAUUAGGGUUCGCACCAAAGGCUUUAUACUCUCUUUCCCUCAUGUCUAAAACAUGGAAUAUAGCUAUCGAACCCUAGAUCGAAUGUAAUGUCAUAAUGGCAAAUACUAGUUGUUCUACUAGGUUAAAUGCACCAAGUUACCAUGUCACAUGUUAAGUUCUAGUUGUUCAACUAGGUUGAAUGCACCAAGUUUAGCUUCAUGAUGACCUUAUCAUGCACUAUGUUACAAUGUUCCAAUUACCUUGUCUACAACAAGUAUAAUAUUAUCAUGCAAGUAAUGCUAAGUUCCAUUCAUCUUGUCUAUAACAAGUGUAGUAUUGUCAUCAUGUAAGUUAACUACUUAUUUAACCCAUUCACUAGGUACCCCUUAAGAGUUAUACCAUCAUUCAUACUCUAACAUGCUUUCUAUGGUUGCAUAAGAGAGAAAUCAUCAAGUAGUGCUAGUUCAUGUACAAGUCCACAUAUAUGUCUCUACUACAUAGAGCAUUAAAUUUACUAUACAUAACAUGUAUGUUUUAUAUUUUCAUAAAUUCUAGCAUGUCAUAUUGAGCAUAAAUAAGCAUUUAAAUAUGUCUUAAAACCAUAAGGAAGACAUAGGGGGAGUUCACCCAUUUCGGUGAGGUCAAACCCACCGGAUGUUCUUCGAACCCUUUAGUUCCUUCGAACGAAGUUGUCCACCAAGCUCCUAGCACCCUAAAAGAAUUUCUAAGAGGGUUAGGGGUAAUGAACGAAUACCCCGCAAGCUCAACUUUAACAAACCCAAGAAUAGGUAGAAAAUUACCUUUGAUCAAGCUACACUUGUCCAAAGCUCAAAUCAACCCAAAGGAUCUUCAAAUCCAACCUAAAGGAGAGUUCUACACUCAUCAAUUAGAUUCCAAAAGCCUCAAAUCAAAAACCCCCAAAUAAAACCCUAAAUUUCUCAUUCUAGAUUUUCAUCACAAAACUCCACAAUAAACAUGAUCUAAAGAGAAGAUCAAGGUUACUAACCUCUCUUGAAGCUCCAAACCAAGCUAGGAGUGAGCUAGGGUUAGAAAUCUUUUCUCAAAGAAGCUCCAAUCCAAGCUCCAAGGCUUCUCCAAUGGUAGAAACCCAACAUGAAGCAAAAAGGGCAAAGAGAGAAGAUCAAACCAAGCUAAAUCCAUAAGAAAAGAGAGAAAAUCAAGAGAGAAGAGCUCUCACCUUGGUCUCCACGGUUUAGGGCUCAAAAGAGCUCUCAUGGCUGAGGGGGAGAGAUAUAUAGAGUUGUGACAAACUCAAAAAGACCCCUCAACAACGUGCAGUUUGCAUCUGCACUGCAUACCAGUGACACCGGCUGGAGUACCAGUACCAGGCAGCAGCACGCGCAAACCCGAGCCUCGGGUAAGCGAGAAAAUACACUACGUACCGAUACUCUCGUGAUGUAGUACCGGUACCAACUCCAGUACCGGUACUCGGGCAAUGCAGUACCGGUACUCUGCCUCGCAGAGCUCAACCUGAGAGCAGCCCAAAUCCUACAUUUUAGAGGUUUUGGUGCUAAGUUUCCAUCAUCGCUCUAGGGAUGCGAGUCAUAGGUUGGAACACAGUCAACGACCUUCCAGAAAACCCAGAAAAGCUUAGAACACUAAUUAAACACUCAAACCUUGCAAUUUGCUAAAGUUCAGUGUGUUACAUUCUCCCCUCCUAAAAAGGAGUUUCUGUAAGAAUUUAUCCGGCACAAAAAAUCGCAGCGGAAAAUAAAUAUCGUGUUUUCGAAAAACAAAAAUCCAUAUCACAUAUGAACCAAAAUAAAACAAAUCAAUCCAGUGCCGGUGGAUCAUUCUCAUGUUGCAAUGUAAAAUAAAAACUAACCUAAACAGAUUUAAAGUUCAGGUUACAUUACCUCGGACCAGUUAAGGUCUCUUGAUCUACUGUAUUAACUGGUUACUUGAUCUACUGUACGGUUGAAACUGAAAUUUCGAUCAGCCGCACACGUGCCCGGCCUCUACGCGUAUCCACACGGAAUUGAUCCAGAUCCAAUGCUUUCCGUCGCACGGAAUAGAUUAGUCGCGAAUUACAAAGACGGUGCUAGCAGUCUCGUGAUAUCCACGUUCGCCUUUUGUGAGAUGUACUGAUUUUUUUUUUGGAAAAAUUAGAGAGAGAUGGAUGAUCUAAUAUUUCUCAAGAGGCUAUUAUUAAAUUCCUCUCGUAAAAGGAUGUUAUAACAUGUUCACAUAGCCGUGCAUUAAUAAUUGAUUAAGCCACGCCUAGCCGUACAAUCGACAUCCUCAAUAUUCUGUUGCAACUAAUUUGGAUCACAUCCAAUUAGUUGCAUAAAUUGUUGCAUGCAUUCUGGUAUAACUAAUUUGGAUCAUAUCCAAUUAGUUACAUGCAUUCUAAUGUAACCAAUUUUGAUCAUAUCCAAUUAGUUCCCAUAGAUAAGUAAAACAAAUUUAUACUUAUCCUCAUGGCUUUUUAUCUUUGUCUCUCUCCUUUAAUUUAAUUGGAUCUUAUCCCAUUAAUAAUUCAUAUUAAUAUCAUUUAAUAUCAUACUCAAAUAAUAUCUAUGAAUAAUUAAUUAUUCUCUAAUCUAAAUUAGAAGACUUAAAUCAAAAUUAUACCAUUCUCCAACAUUUUCACUCAAAUAUUUUAUGUAUUAAUUAGACUCAUCUUAUCAAAUUGGAUUCACCACGAAUUCCUAUUGUGUGUGCAGCAAAGUCAUUAUCCAUUCGAGUAGGUUCAAAUAUCAAAUCUCUUACUAUAUUGAAUUAGAAUUUUACUAAAAUAUUAUUUGAAUAUACAUUUUUACUUCUCUCAUUGUCCUGGUGACACCUAGCAGUAUACACGGCAUUCCAAAUGAUGAUGACUGACAAAACGAACCUUUCCACUAACAGUUACUAUGUGAUUAAUUCCUUCCAACAUACAACGCCCCGAUCGAACUAAAAUUAUGGUUACUCGCCAAAUCUUAUUAUUCGAUCAUAUGACUAGAAUAUCUAAAACUGACUCAAUAUGGUAACACAGCUGGAAACUCUUUCCACACACCACGUACCUUGGCCAAGAAUUUUUCGAGUCAAGUUCGAUAGUCUAUAUAGGACGUUCUCUCUCACUAUUGAGAGUGUUGAAUUCCUUAUUGCGCAUUCACAUGCCUCCCUAUAUAAACUACUACAGCCAAUCAGUACUAGACAUAGACCAAUGAUUAGAGUCUAAGUAUUAGUACAGUUAAACAGUAGCAAUCUACAUGUGAAGCAACCAUGAUGCCUCAGGUCUAAGGAGUACUUCACACAACUGUAGCAAAGAACUAGUCACUGGAGAAUUCGGAACCAUGUGACUGUUCAACUAAAUGGUCACGCUCAGUGUACUUGUUCGCUAACAAACACCUGCAUGCUUACUUUACUGUCCCUACACUAAUGACUUGAGAUUCGUCACCUCAACUUAGAAGUAUAGCAUACACCGCCCUAUCCGGAAAUAUCAUCGUCCUUAUGAAAUUCCUAUGGCUAGGAGCAUUUAAGAAUCUUGUACAAAGAAAUAUAUAUCUCAAAUUCCUAACUCUUAGGAAUAUAUUUUCUUAACGAAGAUUCAAUGGACGAUUCAUAUAAAUGUAUUCUAUUGCUAACAAUAAAUAUGAAUAAAACUUGCCCUUUAUUAAUUAAGAAAAAUACUUAAUAUGUUCACAAGCCUGUGUCACCGAUUGGCUUUAGGGUAUAUCACUAACAGUUUCGUCCGCGAAACUACAAAUCAACAACAUUAGAGAUCCAUCCGAAAAGGAUGGGAAAAGCGCUCCAACAGCGCACAGAACAGAUUCCAAAGGCCUCGAGAUGCUGGAUUGCUCCAAAGCAUCUUCACACCAAGAAUCCCGCAGCUCCAAAGACUCAGCAUAACGCAAGCCAAACUUCCACAUCUGUUCCUCGAACUCAAGUCCUCAUAGGGAAGUGCCAUCUUUAAUCGGUGCUCGUUUAACAAGCUCUUUAGUUGAUCCACAUGAAGCCAAUCGCCCCCAACAUGGUGUUUGAGUAAAAAAAAAAAAAUGAUAAUAAUAAUAAUAACAAAAAAGAGAGGGAAAGAUGUAAGAUUAAAAAAAAAAUAUAUCCCACUUCCCCUUUUGAAAAAAAAAAAAGGGAAAGAAGAGAUCGAAAGAAAAAAAAAGGUAAAAAAAAAAAUUUCAUACCUUGUGUGAAAGUAUCAUUCCAUUUUUUUAAUAUUUUUGAAUAACUUACAAAAAUAAGUAAAGGCCAUUAGAAGCUUAUUAUAAAGCUCCCAAAAAAAAAGAGAGCGGGGAUCCGGAGGGAGAGAACCGAAAACAAAAAAAGAAGAAAGAUAGAAGAAGAAGAGAAAAAAAAAAAAAAAGGUGAAAAAAAAAAAGUUUCUUUUACAUACUCUCUCUCUCUCUCUUUCUUUCUCUCUCUCUCGCGUAUAGGCACCAAAGGGGGAGGUAGCCCUUUUUUUGGGCUGGCUGACAGAGGAGGGGUGCCAUGUGCACCCCAUCCUUUGUCCGUACAACAGAAAAAAAAGGGGAACUUCCGUUCUUAUUCGGCGACAACGGCAACAAUAAUCACGACGACUUCUACGACAGCAGGAGACAUGCAUGCAUACGCGUAGCCUAAGUGCGUAUUUUUUGUCAAUUUGAUCAACCCGACCAUCUUUGUGAUAGGUUUCGAACCGAUCGAAUUUGACAUUAAAUCGCAGCUUCCGUCGCGCGUAUGCAUCACUAAUCCCUAAACCGUACUUUUUUUUUUGUCUAUUUGAUCAACCCGACCAUCUUCGUGAUAGGUUUCGAACCGAUCAAAUUUGACAUUAAAUCGUAGCUUCCGUCGUAUGCAUCGCUAAUCUCUAACCGUGCGGCCAUCUUCGUGAUAGGCUCGACAUGGUCAAAAUGACUGAUCGAAUCGGAUGUUUCAUUACGUAAACCGUGCGGCCAUCUUUGUGAUAGGCUCGACAUGGUUAAAAUGGGUGAUCGAGCAUCAUUAAUGUUGUUACGAAAACUGUGCGGCCAUCUUCGUGAUAGGCUCGACAUAGUUGAAAGCGUAAACCGUGCGGCCAUCUUCGUGAUAGGCUCGACAUGGUCGAAAAGAUUAAUCGAGCGGCCAUNNNNNNNNNNNNNNNNNNNNNNNNNCAACAAUACUCUAUGAAAAUUAGCAAAUCAGAUGAGUGGAGCAAACUCUUAGUUCAAUGUUCAGAAACAUGUUGACAAAUUAUUCCUUGGCCUCUAGGACGUAAAAACCUCACAUAACAGUUAUCUGGCCCAACAUGCUAGUUAAAAUUUGACCUACCGUUCAAUAUGUGGUAAAACUAAUAUGAACCCCCCUCACCUGGACAGUUGUUGGUAAAUACUAAAUUUACACAAACUCAAAUGUUGAUAGGUGUGCGCUUUCUUCAUGUAAGUGCCGCAUGUAACCAUGCGUAUAUUCAAUCAUAGGAAAAUGCCAACACCCUUUCAAGGUAGAAGGCCACACAAUGGGUGUUGCGCAAAAAAACUAACACUCUUCAUUACAACUUAAUAUUUAUAUAUAGGAAAUUUUGGUCUUUAUUUCAAUUUACUACUUAAAUUGCAUCUAACAAUCAAUUUUUUGUUAUACAUGAUACUGAAAUAAUCUCAGACUCAUAUGAUGAAAUCAUAUAGUGAAUCUCAUACUCCCGAACAUAUGUAAUUUGAUUUAGGCCUUUAUAUAUAACAUACCUAGGUUAAUAGAUUAAGUGUAUAUGCAAUUAAAAUCCUUUUAUUAAUUGCAUGGUAACUUAAAUAACUUAACCCACCAUAAGAAUAUGACAUAUUAACUACGUCGCCUCGGAUUUAUAAUAUGUCAGCAAUAUCUUUACUUUCAUAUAUCAAAUAUAUGAAUAUGUUUUGUAUAUACUUUCACAUUAGGUUAAAACAUACAAACCCAAAUCUCAAAUCAGUACCAGCAAGAAUAAUUUUUGUGGCGACGACGAGUGUGCUCUAAUACCAUUGAUAAGGAAAUACGCACGUGCAUGUCAUUUAAUGUCACGACCUCCGGAUUACUCGUUUCCUCGGGCACGUUAACAGACCCAGUGUAUACAAAAAAAAUUUUCUAAGUACAAAGGAAAUGUUACCUGCCUUUUUUUUUCACCGUGCUAACAUAACAUAUACAUAUAACAAUUGUAUAAGAGCUGCUAAAUAAGAAAACAUAUAUAAAUACAAAGGUUCACUAUACUACAUAUAGCAUCAUAGAUACAAAAAUCAACUCGAAUCAGCGAGAUCAAAACAAUCAGUAUGUAUAAUAAACCCAAAACACUACACACUUACCUAUAGCUGGUACUCCCUCUAGCUCUGUGACUCGUUAGAAGGGCUCUAACCUCGCAACACCUUUUCCACGAUUACUAUCAGCAGUAGCAGCAGCGCAACCCGAAGGCUCUGCAAAAAUCCACAACUGGGUGCGGAGAACUUACUUGCAAAAGAAGUAGUCCUCAGUGGGUACCCGCUAACAACCUCAACGCGCUCUCACCCACUAAGCUCUACAGAAGAUAUGAUCAAUGAUAGUAAAAAUCUGAAAAUAAUCUACAGCUAUAUGCACAAUACUAUCAUGAUCGCAAAUAAUAUAUGUAGAUAAGCAGUCUCUGACCCAAUGCUUACUAGGGAAUUGUGAAACAUCCGUCCGCCUGUCGAAGCUACAGCAGCUAAGCUCAAAUCGCAAUGCCGUCGAGUGAGAGAGCUAAUCCAAUCAGGACCAACGACAUUAACGCAAACGCCACUAAGCCGACUCCGGAGUGGCACUCGGUGGGCGCUACCGCAAACACGCGAUUGCAGGAUACUUCUACCGAGGCCGCAAUGCAGGCUUCAGCAGACUAUAGUCAAAGUACAACAGUGUCCAAAACCAAACCACUGUGCCCCAUCGGCACAAUCUGAUGGCAAAAACAAGUAAUCUGGUCCAUCGUCCCACACUCAACGGCACCGACAGUCUGAACAGUGCUAAACAACUGCAUAUACAAAUUAAGCUCGGGCAUCUGUCAGCACGAGUGUGAAUUGAUUCUACACUAUUCUGGGUAUCCACCGUCACAAACCUGCGGCGAUACAAACAAACUACGGCUCCUAGAGGCUAAAUCUAGGUAGUUUUAACAAAUGAUUGUUUACGUGUAGAAUCGCUAGUUUUCUCCUAAAGUCAAAUUCAAUCCAACAUGUAUAUUUAACAAACAUUUUAAGCUCCAAUUCAGAAUUUCAAUAAGCAUGCAAAUCAUAAUUUGAGCGCAUUAAUAUAAUCUAACAAAUAACAAUCACAUGUUGACACAUAUUAAACUUAGAAGGAAAAUCCGCCGAAUUUCGACGUAAGCAUCACAAUUUAACCACCUCUAGGUAAUGCCACGGAGCACGAGGUCACAAGUUGCUGGAAAAGCCCUACAAGGACCAACCGAAUCAAAUCAAGAACCAGCAACCAAACUUCUCCAAAGAUCUAAACAUCAAAAACCAAAUGCUGCAUAUUACAAUUCCUAGAUUUCAGUACUAAAGGCUAAAUGUCCUCCAUGUCAUGUCAACUUUACCUUCUCCAAAACUCCAAUUCAGGUGAGAGAGAGAGCAUGCCCAAAUCCAUAAACUAAAAAGAGGAUCCACCUCAGGCUCUGAAAUCUAGCUUCCUCGAAAGAUUUGCAUCAAAGAAGAACCGAUAAAAUCAUUUCAGCUGUCAAAACAUCAACACGCAAGAAAAAUACAGAAAUUGACUUAUACUAACCUCAUCAAGAUGUUGUGCAAAAAGGCCUCCACGAAAUUCUCAAGAAUGCUUAGCUAACCAAUAACAAUUAUAUACCAUCGACCGUUCCUACACGGCAGCCGAGCCAAAACGGCCGCAAAGGUCGUGGUAGAUAUUCUGCCUAAAACAGCAAUCCUCAAGUGGCGAAUUGAGGCAAAUUGAAUGGAUUUAGAGGGUUUGCGAAUGGCGAUAUUUUAGCCUUCUCUCAAUGAGAGGAGAUGAAAGAGUAGUUCGACCCAGGUCGUACUCUCAGCCUAUUGUGUAGAGAGGUGAAGAUGAGAUAAGCCCGAGAGACAGAAGAGCAAAGAGCUGUGGGAUGUUCCAUGACAGAAACGGGCACUUUCGGGCGCCGGAACCAUUUUCUGGACGGUCGCGAAACCUGCGGCAGGUUGCAGCAAAUCACUCAUCUUCCGUUCCUCCGCUCGCGUGUGUCUGUGCUCUUAUGCCCUGUCCGGCGACCUCGACUAACCACCAGACACUGGUCAGCACAAUCGAUGAUUCACAAAGUUGAAACUUUCGGGCCCUCUUCUGGGCGUCUGAAACUAAGGAUCCGAAUUCGUCUCCAUGUUUGCUGCUUAGUUCAGGCACUCGAGUCUGGGUGUCCAAACCAUGACUAGGCGCCCGAACACUGGCAAAUACUCCCAGUUUUACUCCUUUGAGUCGGACGGAGUACUACUUCUCUGCAUCCCAUUUCAUGCAAGAAAUGACUCCGAUCAUUCUUCGACACCUCUCCCAGAGUGUGUGACCUCAGUCACUAAUAUUGUCACCAACCUUCCAAACUCCGAAUACAUACAUUAAUGCCAAACGGAAUAAAUUUUAUUUAUAAAUAUGACCAACUCUAUGUAUACUUUAAUCAUUCAAUAACAUUUUGAUUAUUAGUAUAUAUAUGUAACCAAGAUCAUCUCGUGUGACACAAAAAUAUGUUAUUUGCUAUUCUAAUAGAAGAAAGCGUUCGAAUUAUCAACCUGUGUUGAUUACUGAAAAUUAUUUUACGGUUUGAAUUUUGGAUCUGCAUCUUCGGGUUUUGUUCAGCCACACAAGUGUCGACCAUCUUAUAUUUAUCCCACACAAAGGCUGCAUCCUGGCAUUAUUGCUUCACGACAAUCAAGUAUAAAUCUCGAAACUCCUUUGUGUGAUCUCUUGUGUCAAUAUGGAGAAAAAUUAAUCACUCGAAUAAUUGUGCUAGCAAUUAUCAAGAAGAUUAACUAUAGAGGAACAAUUCUAUAUAGGAUGACCUCUCCUAUUUGAUUUAAAAAAUAGCUUACAUGAUUCAAGGAAUAUCCUAUUCUUCUAUUUCCUCCCAAUUCAUUUUGUGUGUGUGAUGAUUAUCAUCAUUGAGAGACUGCCUAACUCUUAUAGGUGGAGGCCAAAAAAGUUAGAGAGCCGGAGAAGAGGUGGGAGAAACGUUCUCAUAAUAGACAUUGAUUUCCUGCGCAAGUUAAUAAAACGAUCUCUUUUCUCCAAUUUGGAGAGGAGAGAGAAAGAAAGAAACACCACUAUAAUGAGAGGGAGAAGUUUAAACCUUACUCUCAUUUGAUAUUAUAGAGAAAAAGAGAGGAAAGAAAAAACGCUUUUCACUUUUCUUCUCCAUUAAUAGCUAACAAUUAAUACAGUAAAGUUUAAUUUUCUUUCUCUUUCCUCUUUUGUCUCAUCUCCCAAACAAUUAUAAAAGGGAAUUAAUACGAAAGAGAGUUGUACACCUCAAUGAGUGUUGCAACUAAUUGCCACAUAAAGCUACGUACUAAAUUCAAAUUAGUAUGUAGCGUCACUCUAUACAAAUUUACUUUUGCAAUAGAGUUUUUGCUAACCACUUAAGCAAAUAAAUUCUUACUUUGACUAUUUUAGCAAAUAGUCUCUGCUUAAUAUCUCCAAGCACUAGAUCACAUGCAGGCUUUAUUUGUGUGGACCACAUAGUGUUCAAUUCUACCUUGGUAGUGGAGCAUGUGACACUAAACUCUUUGAAUGCCACCAUCAAGCAACUCUCGCGAUGGAUCCCGUAAAAUAUUUUAGGCUCUCCAACUUAGUGUAAUUAACUACUUAAUUUACUCUUAUGGGUCCCACAAUCACUAGUGACACUAUAGCAGUAUACGGUGAUCCAAGUAGAAUUAAUAAUAGAGCAGACUCUGGCACGUUACCGUGUGAUAAAAAUCCUCUUUAUCAGUUGGUCCCCGAUUCGAGUUUGAAGGCCAGUUAUGGAUAACUUGUCAAAGCCCCGGCUUCCUUUGGUUUUAAAAUCGAUUGCGGAAGGCCCAAACUUUUUUUUAAUGAAAACCUUGACGGCAAAGGACGUCAGAUCCGCGCAACAAUACAGGAAAAUCCACUUUCACAUGACAGAGUUUUUCCGCUAUAUUUGCACGGCGUCGCAAUAGGUACAAGAUACAACCAACAGGUUAAACAACCACAUACAAUACCACAUCAAACAGAUACCAUUCAUCAUUUAUCCACAGUUUAUCUGUCACGGCCCUACGACCGCCCCACGUUGGUCGAAUUGGGUACGUCGACAGGACCGCCAAACGGAACAGGGUUUCCUCUGUACGUCCUACGUCACACUAUCCAUCAAUUUGCGCGGUUCCAACCUAGGAACAACAUUCAUACACAGAUUAAUAAGGAGGUAUCAAAAUAUAUAAAGCUAAACUAUUACAGCACAUUCAUCUCACAUGUAUUUACAUAUUACAUUUUUCCACUUAGCUCAAAUGCAUCCUCACUAGUACUAUUAUUUACUUUUGCUCUUCUUUUUCCCGUACCCUAAGUGUUAAUCAUUUUGGCACUCCGCGUGGAGUUGAUGGGUGUGAUAUCGGGUGUAACCCCUAGAUUCUUCCUAUGGAUAACACUGUUUGAAUCCUCCUUAGAAGAUAUAUGAUUGGCAGAUCCAUUCAUAAGAGCAAGUUAAAGCAGAUCUAGACUUCGCCCUCGAUCUGGUUGAGGAAGGUGAGAAGAAAUUUUAGCCAUGUGUCUGGCCGCGAACGUAACCUGCCCGCCGCAGGUUAUUUCUGGGCAGUGGGUUCAUUCAUGGUAGAGAUUAAAAUUUUGUUUAUAUUUAUUUUGAAAUCAGGAUGCAGUAGGUUCCAUGGCUUCCAACAGACAUCAAGGUCUCUGUAAUUACCGCAACACUUUUGUGUUAAGGACCCUCGAUUAAGAGACCAAUAUAAAUGUGAUAAUGAAGGAAGCAAAACAGGCACAUAAAAUCUUUAUUGAUAUGAUUUUGCCGGUUUACAUAGUUAAGCAUGGCAUACCCCCAAUUUUUGGUUUAAAAAACAUCGAAUUUAUCAGACUAAAUACUCAAGUGGCAUGUUCGUUGAAGUUUGAUCUCAGUUUUAAUAACAUGGCGGUCACAGUUUAAGUUUUGAUGCUAGUUUAAUGACUGGGGUCGAGUUCAAGUUUUGAUGCGCAGUUAAUGAAUGGCGGUCGAGUUCGAAGUAUUGUGAACACUCGCAGUCGUUUAAUUGUUAGGUUUAACGACUCCUUCCGGUCCGUGUUGAAGUGAGUUUUAGUUUAGCCAGACAUUUUCGGUCGUGUGAAUUUUGGUGGUCUUAGUUUUAGCGGGACAUUUCGGUCGUUUGAAGUUGAGUUUAGUUACGACAUUGUCGGCCGUCUUGAAUUGGUUUUUGGGCUUCGAACGUUAUGCUUUGUUCGAGACCCAUUCAAGACUUGUUUGGUUGGGUCGUCAAGACCCAUAAGGACUUGGCUCGGUUUGCGGUCUUCGAGUGACCCAUCAAGACUUGGCUUGUUUGGAUCGUUCGUGGACCAUCAAGACUGGUUUGUGGUCAAAAGUUCGGGACCCAUCUAAGACUUAGUUGCGGUAUUGGGUCGUCAGCGACCCGUCAAGGCUUGGUGUGGGUCUUUCGGGACCCAUCAAGACUUGAUUUGGGUCGUCGACCACAUACUGCGUUUCGAGUCAUUCGAGAACCAUCAAGACUUAGUUCGUUUGGCGCUCGUUCAGGACCCGUCAAAAGCUUGUGUCGUGAUAGUGUUGUGUCGUCGCGGACCAUAAGACUUGGUUUGGGGUUGUUCGGGACCCAUCAAGCGGUUCGUCGGUAAAAGAGUUUGGUUUGGGGUCGAUUCGGCCUCAAGACUUGGUUUGGUCAGUUCGGGGGACCCAUCAAGGCUUCGUUCGGUUUUGGGUCGUUCGCCGACCCUUAAGACUUGGUUUGUGGUGCGUGCGACCAAUCUAAGACUUGGUUUGGGUCGUUCGUGACCCAUCAAGACUUAGUUGAGUUGGGCGACUUCAAGUUUAUUUGGUCAUUUUUGGAUUUGGGUUGUUUAGUUUAGCAGACUUUAGCGGUCGGUUGAAUUGUUUAGUUUAACGCUUUUCGGUCGUUUGAAUUUGUUUAGUUAACGACUUUUCGGUGAUUGCUUAUUUGUAGGCUUUGGGAUUUUGGAUUUUAUGUUUGUGACUUUGGUUUGGGUUUUUUAUUUGUGGACUUCGUGGAUUUUGGGUUUUAUUUGUGGACUUGGGUUUUGAAAUUUUUUUGUGGACUUUGGGCGUUUUGGGUUUGAGUUUGAGUCGUGGGGCUUUGAAACCGUUAUGCUUUGGUUCGGAUCUAAGGUCCAGACUAUGGUUUGAACUUGGAUCUUUAUGGUGGUUUGGCUUGGAUCCACCUUGGUUCGAGUUAGACCCUGAUUGGAUUGAACCGAAUUCGCUCAAGUCUGGUUCAGUCGGAUCAUAGUUCGGUUCGGAUUUGGACCCACUUACAGCUUCAGAGCCAGGUUCUGAUUGGGUUCGGUUCAGUCGGAUCCAAUUCGAUCAGUUGAAUCUUCUAUGUCAUGUGUUCGGUUGGAUCUGUUAGGUUCAAUUCGGUCGAUCCUCGCUUACGAUCCAAUUCAAGUCGAAUCAUUAUGAUUUGGUUUCAGAGACGGGAUCCGGUUGCGGUUGCAGCUUGAAGUCGAGUAACGCUUCGGUUUAAGUGGAAUGGUGCUAGUGGUUCGGUUCGGACUGGGAUCUGGUUUGGUUCGAUCCGGGGUGUCGGCUCGGUUUGAGUUCGGAUAGUGACGGGAUGCCGGUUUGGUUUCGGAUCCGGUUCGCGUGUCAUUGGGUUGCGCGACGUACGAGAUCUGGUUCAAUUCAGUUAUGUCGCGAUCGGCACGGGAUCGAAAUUCGUCGUUCGGAUCCGGUUGCAGGUUCGGUCGUGAUCCGGUUCAGUCAGGUUUGGGUUCGGGGGAUUCGGUUGGUUCAGUUUGGUUUUGAUGAGACGGAUCCGCGAUUCGGGUUCGGAUCCGUGUUCGGUUCGGUUCCGGAUCCGGUUCAGUUCAGUUUGGUUCGGGACGGGAUUCAGUUUCGGUUCAGAUUGGUUAUCGGAUCGCCUUCGUUUAAGUCGAAUCCCUUGUUUGAUCGGCUCGAAUCGGCUCCACUUCGUUCGAGGUCGAAUGCUUCCAUUUUUUUUCGUUCGGAUGGAUCAAAUUGCAUGUGGACUGAGAUGACUUAGGCUUUAUAAUGUUAUAGGCCUUGGUAUCCGAAUCUGUACGUCUGAGCUUUGGGCCGAAUCUGUUGUGGGCUCUGCAUGCUUGGGUUUUUAUUUUAUUUAUUUAUUUAUUUUUUCGCGAUUACUGCUAUAGUAGAAUAACCCGAAUCCAACUCCUUAAAUUUCUUUUGUUUUUUUUUAUUUUGACUGGAGAAAAUAAAAGGAACAACUCCCCUUUUUUUUUCUUUUCUUUUCUUUAUCUUUUUUUUUGUCAUUCUUCCUUUCUCUUUUUUUUUUUUUUUUUAUUUUUUUUGACUUUUCAGGAGAUGAGAAGAGAAAGACCCAACUCUCUCUCUUCUUUUCUCUUGUGUGAUUACACAAAACCAGAGGGGGAGAGAGGAAUAACUCCUUUCUUUUUGUGUAUUUUUUCUUUCUUUCCUUUCUUGCUCUUCUUCUUCUUUUUUUUUUUUUUGAUACUUUUAUUCAUUCCUUUUUUUUUGCUCUUUUUUUUUUUGGACUGGAUAAAUAAUGAAUAAUACCUUUGUUUUGUUUCGAUUUCUUUUCCUUUUUUGUUCGUCUUUUUUUUUUUUGCUUUCUUUUAUUGAAUUUUUUUUUUUCUUCGUUUUUUUUUUGUUGAUUGCAACAAGAGAGAGGAGAAAGGGAGACCAAGCCCAACUCUCUCUCUCUCUCUCUCUUCACUCUGUACGAAAUAGAGAAACGAAGAAGGAGCAUUGCUCUGCUCUUUCUCCCUUUCUACUUUUUUUUUUAUUUGUUUCUUCUUGUUUUUUUUUGUUUAUUCAUUCCUUUUGUUUAAAUAACGAAGUUGAUCAACGCCGAGCAGUAUAUUAAUCGAUUCGAACGAGAGUGAGCGAAUGCAAAAUUAGAAUCUGUUCCAUUUUAUUAUUAUUUUUGUUAACACGUUUUUUAAGUCCGCGAUUAUCGUGUCGAGCCUCAUACGAAGUUCUCUCAAAAAAAAAAAAAAAAAAAAAAAAACCUUGUUCUGAAACUCUAAUUUAAAGUUCCUUUAUUUAAGUGUGGAACUGUUGUGGACUAAAAAAAAAAAAAAAGAAAGAAAGAGGGAGUUGUUCCAUUUUUUUAUUUUUCCAAUCAAAAAAAAAAGAAACAAAAAGAAAUUUUUAAGGAAUUGGAUUCGGGUUAUUCUAAAAAAAUAAAUAAAUGAAUAAAAAAAACACCCACAUGCAGAGCCCACAUACAGAUUCGGGCCCAAAGCUCAGACCGUACAGAUUCGGAUCUAAGGCCUAUAACAUAUAAAGCCUAAAGCUCAUCUCAGUCCACAUGCAAAUUUGGAUCCAUUCCGAACAAAAAAAAAAAGGAAGCAUUCGACUCGAACCAAAGUGGAGCCGAUUCGAACCACAACCACAAGGGAUUCGGCUUAAACCGAAGCGGAUCCGACCCAAGUUGAACUGAACCGAAUCCUGUCCGAACCAAACUGAACUGAACCGGAUCUGAACUGAACCGAACCGGAUCCGAACCGAAUCUGAUCCCGUCCGAUCCGAACCAAACUGAACCGAACCGGAUCUCGUCCGAUCAGAACCGAACUGAACCGGAUCCGAACCGAAUCGAACCGGAUCCGAACCGAACCGGAUCCCGUCCGAACCAAACUGAACUGAACCGGAUCCGAACCAAACCGAACCGGAUCCAAACCGAAUCGGGACCAAACUGAACUGAACCGGAUCUCGUCCGGUCCGAACCGAACUGAACCGAACCGGAUCCGAACCAAACCGGAUCCCGUACGAUCCGAACCAAACUGAACCGAACCGGAUCCGAACCGAACCGGAUCCCGUCUGAACCGAACCCAAUCAGAAUCCGACUCGAACUGAAGUGGGUCCAAUCCGAACCGAAUAUGAUCUGACUUGAACCGACUCGAGCUGAAUCCGGUUUAAUCCAAUCAGGGUCUAACUCAAACCAAGGUGGGUCCAACCCGAACCAAACCAUGAAGAAUCUAAUUCAAACCAAGUCUGGAUAGAUCCCGAACCAAAGCAUAACGGUUCAACCCAAACCCAAAGUCCGCAAACUCAAAAUCCAAAACCCAAAGUCCACAAAUAAAAACCCAAAAACCCAAAAUCCACAAAGUCCACAAAUAAAAACCCAAACCCAAAGUCCACAAACUCAAAAUCCAAAACCCAAAGUCCACAAAUAAAAACCCAAAAACCCAAAAUCCACAAAGUCCACAAUAAAAACCCCAAACCCAAAGUCCACAAAUAAAAAUCCAAAAUCCAAGCCUACAAUAAAACAAGACGCAAAGUCGUUAAACUACAAACAAUCCAAUUAAACGACCGAGAAGUCAUAUAAACCUGAAACCCAAGUUCCAAACGACCCGAAAGUCGUUAAAACUAAACAAUCUCAAACGACCGAAAAGUCGUUAAACUUAAACAAUUCCAAACGACCGUAAAUCCAAACUAACAACCAAAUCCAAAUGACCCAAUAAACUUGAAGUCGACCAACUCACAACUAAAGCNNNNNNNNNNNNNNNNNNNNNNNNNNNNNNNNNNNNNNNNNNNNNNNNNNNNNNNNNNNNNNNNNNNNNNNNNNNNNNNNNNNNNNNNNNNNNNNNNNNNNNNNNNNNNNNNNNNNNNNNNNNNNNNNNNNNNNNNNNNNNNNNNNNNNNNNNNNNNNNNNNNNNNNNNNNNNNNNNNNNNNNNNNNNNNNNNNNNNNNNNNNNNNNNNNNNNNNNNNNNNNNNNNNNNNNNNNNNNNNNNNNNNNNNNNNACUUUCUCCGUUUUGUCCGUUUAUUUUAAAAUAACUAUACUAAACGGCAAAUGUAUCGAAUUCGUCCCCGUAUGGGGGUGACAUGUACUUAAAAUAGUCUGAUUUAUGAGUUACCGUCAACCAACUUCAAAACUACGAGUCAAAUUAUUGUACCGCCAGUUCAAAUUCAAAACUACGAGUCAAAUUACUGUACCGCCAGCUCAAGUUCAAACCUACUUGUUGAAGCGUCAGCAAAUCUAACCCAAAUCAAAUUGCUGAAAGGCCAGCAAACUUCAACUCAAAUCAAAUCGCUGUAAAGCCAGCAAACUUAACCAAAACCCAGCUUGGCAAUACGAAACCAAGCUCUGGGUAGUUCUGAACCAAACCCAACCCAGCAAGUUCUGGGUAGUUCUGAACCGAGCCAAACCCAGCAAGCUCUGGGUAGUUCUGAACCGAACCAAACCUAGCAAGCCCUGGGUAGUUCUGAACCAAACCCAGCAAGCCCUGGGUAGUUCUGAAUCAAGCCAAACCCAGCAAGUCCUGGGCAGUUCCGAACCAAACCCAGCAAGCCCUGGGUAGUUCUGAACUAAACCCAGCAAGCCCUGGGUAGUUAUGAACCAAACCCAGUAAGCCCUGGGUAGUUCUGAAUCAAGCCAAACCCAGCAAGUCCUGGGCAGUUCCGAACCAAAACCAGCAAGCCCUGGGUAGUUCUGAACCAAACCAAACCCAGCAAGCCCUGGGUAGUUCUGAACCAAAUCCAGCAAGCCCUGGGUAGUUCCGAACCAAACCAAACCCAGCAAGCCCUGGGUAGUUCUGAACCAAACCCAGCAAGCCCUGGGUAGUUCCGAAGCAAGCCAAACCCAGCAAGCCCUGGGAAAUUCUGAACCAAACCCAGCAAGCCCUGGUUAGUUCUGAACCAAACCCAGCAAGCCCUGGGUUAUCAGCAUUUAUAUUUGGUCUCUUAAUCGAGGGUUCCUUAACACCAAAAGUGUGGGGUAAUUAACAGCAGACUCUUGAGUCUGUUGGAAGCCAUGAACCUAUGAUCCUGAUUUCAAAAUAAAAUUUAAACAAAUUUUAUCUCUACCAUGAAUGACCACUCGCCCUAGAAACAACCUACGGCGGGGCCGGUUAGUUCGCGGCAGACACAUGGCUAAAUUUCAAUUCUCACCUUCCUCAACCAGAUCGAGGGCGAAGUCUAGAUCUGCUUUAACUUGCUCUUAUGAAUGGGAUUCCAUCAUAUAUCCUUCUAAGGAGGAUUCAAACAGUGUUAUCCAUAGGAAGAAUCUAGGGGUUACACCCGAUACACAACCCAUCAAAACUCCACCGGAGUGCUCAAAUGAUUAACACUUAGGGUACGGGAAAAAGAAGAGCAAAAUGUAAUAAUAGUACUAGUGAGGAUUGCAUUUGGAAGCUAAGUGGAAAAAUGUAAUAUGUAAAAUACAUGUGAGAUGAAUGCUUGUAAUAGUUUAGCAUUUAUAUUUUUGAUACCUUCCUUAUGUAAUCUGUGUAUGAAUGUUGUUCCUGGUUGGAACCGCGCAAAUUGUAUGGAUUGUGACGCCUAGGACGUACAGAGGAAACCCGUCCGUUUGGCGGUCUGUCGACGUACCCGAAUUCGACCAAAGUGGCGGGUCCUAGGCCGUGACAGAUAAACUGUGAUAAAUGUGAAUGGUAUCUGUGAUGUGGUGAUUGUAUGUGGAUUGUUAUACUGUGUGGUUGUAUCUUGUACCUAUGCGACGCCGUGCAAAUAUAGGGAAAACUCUGUCCAUGUGAACAGUGGAUUUUCUGUAUUUGUGGCGGAUCUGACGUCCUUUGCCGUCAAGGUUUUCAUUAAAAAAAAAGUUUGGGCACUUCCGCAUCGAUUUUAAAACCAAAAGGGAGCCCGGGGCGUGACAAGUUAUCCAUAACUGGCCUCAACUCAAUCGGGACAACUGAUAAAAAGAUUUUAUCACACGGUAACUGCACCUAGAGGUUCUGUCUAUUAUUAAUUCUACUUGGAUCACCGCGAUAUACUGCUAAGUGUCACUAGUUGAUUGUGGGACCCAUAAGAGUAAUUAAGUAGUUAAUUACACUAAGUUGGGAGAGCUAAAAAUAUUUUGGUCCAUCGAGAAGAGUUCUGAUGGUGGCAUUCAAAGAGUUUAGUGUCACAUCUCACUACCAGGUAGAAUUGAACCUAUGUGGUCACACACAAUAAAGGCUGCAUGUGAUCUAGUGCUUGGAGAAUUAACAGAGACUAUUUUGCUAAAAUAGCAAAGUAAGAAUUUAUUUGCUAAGGUGGUUAGCAAAAACUCUAAUUGCAAAAGAUGAAAUUUGUAUAGAGUGACCUAAUACUAAAUUUGAUUUAGUACGAGGGCUUAUGUGCAAUAGUUGCAACAACUCAUGAGGUGACAACUCUCUCUUCGUAUUUAAUCCUUUUAUUAAUUGUUGGGAGAUGAAGACAAAAAGGGAGAGAGAAAGAAAAUAAAAUUAUACUUAUUAAUUGUACUAUUAAUGGAGAAGAAAAGUGAAAACGUUUUUUCUUUCCUCUCUUCUUCUCUAUACAUAUCAAAUGAGAGAAGUUAACUCUCCUCUCAUUUAUAGUGUGUGUUUUCUUUCUUUCUCUCCUCUCCAAAUUUGAGAAAGAGAUGUUUUAUUAAUUGCGAGGAAAUCAAUGUCUCAUUAUGAGAACGUUUCUCCCACCUCUUCCUCGGCUCUCUACUUUUUGCCUCACCUAUAAAUUGAGGCAUCUCUCAAUGAUGAUAAUCAUCACAACACAAAAUGAAGUGGGAGAGAAAUAGAGAAAAUUCUCCUAAUCAUGUAAAGCUAUUUUUUAAUCAUAAUAGAGAGGUCAUCCUAUAUAAAUUGUUCUCUAUAGUUAAUCUUCUUGAAAUUGCUAGCACAAUUUUGAGGAUUAAUUUUUCUCCAUAUUGACACAAGAGAUCACAAAAGGAGUUUCGAGAUUAUACUGUGAUUGUGUGAAGCACAGAUCCCGGAGCAGCCUUGUGUGGAUAAAUAUAGAGGUCGAACACUUGUGUGGCUGAAAAAACCCGAAGAUCAGAUCCAAAAUCAACCGUAAAAUAAUUUCGGUAAUCAACACAGGUUGAAAUUCGAACCUUUCUUCUAAUUAGAAUAGAAUAAUAAAUUUUGUGUCACACGAGAUGAUCUUGGUACAUAUAUAUACUAAUAUCAUAAAUGUUAUGAUAUUAAAGUAUACAUGAUUGGAUCAUAUUUUAUAAAUAAAAUUUAUUUCCGUUGCAUUAAAUGUAGUAUUCCGGAGGUUUGGAUAGGAUUGGUGACAGUAUUAGUGACUGGUCAACACAUCUGGAGAGUGUCGAAAUGAGUCGGAGUCAUUUCUGCAUGAAAGGGAUGCAGAAAUAGACUCGUCGCACUCAAAGGAGUAAAACUGGAGUUUUGCCAGUUUCGGGCGCCUAGUACAUGGUUUGGGACACCCAGAACUCGAGUGCUGAACUAAGCAGAACUGGAAGCGAAUUCGGAUCCUAGUUUCAGACGCCCAGAAGAGGGCCCGAAAGUUCACUUUGUGAAUAUCGAUUGUGCUGACACGUGUCUGGUGGUUAGUGAGGUCCGCCGGACCAGGAUAAGAGCACAGCACACCGCGAGCGGAGGAACCGAAGAUGAGUAUUUGUGCAACCUGGAGGUUUCGGACGUCCAGAAAAUGGUUCCGGGCGCCCGAAAGUGCCCGUUUCUGCAGGAACUGCAGGUUUGUGUUUCUGUUCUUGGGACUUAUCUCAUCCUUUCACCUCUCUACAAAUAGGUGGAGUACGACCCUGGUGAACUCUUUUCAUCUCCUCUUCAUAGAGAAGGCUAAAAUUGCAUUCCAACCCCUCUAAAUCCUCCAAUUUGCUCAAUUCCACCUUGAGGAUUGCUGUUUUAGCAGAAUUCUAGCAGCGACCUUUGGCGUUUUGGCUCGUGUGCGAUGUAGGAAGGUCGGAUUGCAAUAAAACUUAGUUUAUUGGUUAGCUAACUUCCUGGAGAUUUCGUGGAGGCCUUUUUGACAACAUUUGAUUGAGGUUAGUAUAGUCAAUUUGGUAUUUUUCUUCGCUGUUGAUGUUUUUGAGCUGAAAUUGAGUUUUAUCGGUUUUCUUGAUGCAAUCUUUCGAGGAAGCUAGAUUUCAGACCUGAGGGUGAUACUCUAUUCUAGUUUACUGGAUUUGGGACCUUUCUUCACCUGAAUUGGAGUUGGGAAGGUAAAGUUGACAUUGGACAUGGAGGAAUUUAGCUUUAGUACUGAAAUUUGGGAGUUGUAAUGCAAGAUUUGGUGUUUUUGAUGUUUAGAUCUUUGGAGAAGUUUGGUUGCUGGUUCUGAGUGAUUUCGGUUGGUCUUGGUAGGGUUUCCAGCAACUUUGUGACCUCGUGCUGCCGUGGAUUAACGCUAGAGGUGGGUUAAAUGUGAUGCUUACCGAAUUCGGCGGAUUUCCUUCUAAGUUAAUAUUGUCAACAUGUAUUGUUAGUUGUUAGAUUAUAUUAAUCGGCUCAAAUUUAUGAUUUGCAUGCUUAUUGAAAUCUGAAUUGGGAGCUUAAAAUGUUUGUUAAAUAUACAUGUUGGACUUGAAUUUGACUUAGGAGAAAACUAGCGAUUCUACACCGUCAUUUGUUAAAACUACCAGAUUUAGCUCUAGGAGCCGUAGUUUGUUUGUAUCGCCGCAGUUUGUGAACGGUGGAUACCCAGAAUAGUGUAGAAUGCAAUUACACUCGUGCUGAGAUGCCGAGCUUAUUUUUAUAGCAGUGUUUAGACUGUUCCAGACUGUCGGGUGCCGUUGAGGUGGACGAUGGACCCAGAUUACUGUUUUUGCAUCAGAUUGUGCCGAGGGCACGUGGGUUUGGUUUUUGGACCCUGUUUACUUUGACUAUAGUCUGUGAGAGCCUGAUUGGGCUCGGUAGAGAUACGCUUGCAUACUCGGUUGGGUAGCGCCCACGAGUGCCACUCCGGAGUCGGGCUUAGUGCGUUUGCGUUAAUGUCGUUGUGUCCUGAUUGGACUUGCUCUCUACUGACGGCCUUGCGUUGAGGUAGCUGUGUAGCUUCGACAGGCGGGACGGAUGUAUUCACAAUCCCUAGUAAGAUUGGGUCAGAGACUGCUUUAUUCUACAUAUAGUUAGUGUUGGAUCAUGAUAGUAUUGUGGCAUAUAGCUGUAGAUUAUUUUCAGAUCUUUACUAUCAUUGAGCAUAUCUUCUGUAGACUUAGUGGGUGAGCCGUUGAGGUUGGUAGCGGUACCCACUGAGGACUACUUCUUUUUGCAGUAGUUCUCACGCCCAGUUGUGGAUCUUUUGCAGAGCCUUCGGUUGCGGCUGCUGCUACUGCUGAUAGUAAUCGUGGAAAAGGUGUUGCGAGUUAGAGCCCUUCCUAACGAGUCACAGAGCUAGAGGAGUACCAGCUAUAGGUAGUUGUAGUUUUUGGGUUAUUAUACAUACUGAUGUUUGUAUCUCGCUGGAGCGAGUGAUUUUUGUAUACUAUGAUGUUAUGUAUGUAUAGUGAACCUUUGUUAUUAUAUAUGUUUUCUUUUUAGCAGCUCUAUACUAUUGGUUAUAGUAUUGUAUGAUUACAGGUACAGGUACAGUUUCACUUUGUAUAUAGAAAAAUUUUUUUUGUAUACGACGGGUCUGUUAACGUGCCCGAGGAAACGAGUAAUCCGGAGCGUGACAUUAAAUGCACAUGCACGUGCAUGUAUUUCCUUACAAUGGUAUUAGAGCCACCUCGUGUCGCCACAAAAAUUAUUCUUGUUACUGAUUUGGAUUUGGGGUUGUAUGAUUUAACCCUAAUGUGAAAGUAUAUACAAAACAUAUUUCAUAUAUUUGAUAUAUGAAAGUAAUUGGUGACAAUUAUAAAUCCCGGGCGACGUAGUUAAUAUGUCAUUAUCUUAUGGUGGUUAAUUAUUUAAGUUAGCAUGCAAUUAAUAAAAGGAUUUUAAUUGCAUAUAACUUAAUCUAUUAACCUAGGUAUGUUAUAUAUAAAGGCUAAAUCAAAUUACAUAUGUUGGGGUAUGAGAUGCACUAUAUGAUUUCAUCAUAUGGUCUGAGAUUAUUUAGUAAUCAAUGUAUACAAAAUAAUUGUGUUAGAUGCAAUUUAAGAGUAAAUUGAAAUAAAGACCAAAACUUCCUAUUAUAAAUAUUAAGUUGUAAUGAAGAGUGUUAGGAACACCCUAUUGUGGCCUUCUACCAUUGAAAGGUGUUGGCAUUUUCCUAAUUGUUGAAUGAUACGCAUGGUUACAUGGGCCACUUACAUGAAGAAAGCGCAACCACCUUAUCAACAUUUGAUGUUGUGUGGUAAAAUUAGUAUUGUACCCAACAACUGUCAGGUGAGGGUUCAAUAUUAGUUUUACACACAUAUUGAACGGUAGGUCAAAUUUAACUAGCAUGUUGGGCCAAUAACUGUUAUGUGAGGCUUUUACGUCCUAGAGGCCAAGGAAUAAUUGCAACAUGUUUCUGAAACAUUGAACAAGAGUUGUCCACUCAUCUAUUUGCUAAUUAUCAAUAACUGUUAGGUGAGAUAAUUUGCAAAAUUGGUGAGACCACAAUCCCCACUAGAAAUCAAUUUAGGAGGUUUUCGUUUCUUCACUAAAAAAGUGUGGACAUCCAGAAAACUCAGUGGGAGACACCAUUUGAUUAAAAGUCUAUAAUCAAGUGGAAUAAUGAAAAGUACAUAACUAACUGAAUAUCUUUACCUUCUACAGAAUAUGGCUGCUUCUAACCCUCUCACUAAAAUUCUUGAUGCCAACCGCUUAACUGGCCCUAAUUUUUCUGAUUGGCUACGGAACUUGAGAAUCAUUCUCAAUUCUGAAAAAAUUGCCUAUAUUUUGACCACUCAUGCUCCUGAACUUCCAGCUGAUGAUAAUGAGCAACAGAGAGCUGCUUAUGCAAAAUGAAUGGAUGACGAUAAUAGAGUCAGGUGUUAUAUGUUGGGAUCAAUGAGCAAUGAGCUAUAACAUCACUGUCCAUGUGUUCAUGUUGACGUUGCAACUCAUUGCUCAUCGAUGCCAACAUGUAACAGCUGACUCUAUUAUCGUCAUCCAUCCAUUUUUCAUAAGCAGCUCUCUGUUGCUCAUUGUCAUCAACUGGAAGUUCAGGAGUAGGAGUGGUCAACAUAUAGGCAAUUUUCUCAGAAUUGAGAACGAUUCUCAAGUUCCGUAGCCAAUCAGAAAAAUUAGGGCUGGUUAAACGGUUGGCAUCAAGAAUUUUAGUGAGAAGGUUAGAAGCAGCCAUAUUCUGUAGAAGGUAAAAAUAUUCAGUUUGUUAUGUACUUUUCAUUAUCCUAUUUGAUUAUGGAUUUUUAAUCAAAUGGUGUCUCCCACUGAGUUUUCUGGAUAUCCACACUCGUUUAGUGAAGAAACAGAAACCUCCUAAAUUGAUUUCUGGUGAGGAUUGCGGUCUCAUCAAUUUUGCAAAUUAUCUCACCUAACAAUUAUUGGUAAUUAGCAAAUGAUGAGUGGACAACUAUUGUCCAAUGUUUCAGAAACAUGUUGCAAUUAUUCCUUGGCCUCUAGGACGUAAAAGCCUCACCUAAAAGUUAUUGGCUCCACAUCCUAGUUAAGUUUGACCUACCAUUCAAUAUGUGUAUAAAACUAAUAUUGAACCCUCACCAAACAGUUAUUAGGUACAAUACUAAUUUUACCACACAACAUCAAAUGUUGAUAAGGUGAAUGCGCUUUCUUCAUGUAAGUGGCUCAUUUAACCAUGCGUAUCACUCAACAUUUAAGAAAAUGCCAACACCUUACAACGGUAGAAGGCCACAAUAGGGUGUUCAUAACACUCUUUGUUACAACUUAAUAUUUAUAAUAGGAAGUUUUUGUCUUUAUUUCAAUUUCAUCAGAUCUUACUUUUAAAUUGCAUCUAAUGCAAUUAUUUUGUAUCUAAUACAAAAUAAUAUUAAACAUUGAUGACUAAAUAAUCUCAGACCAUAUGAUAAAUUCAUAUAGUGCAUCUCAUGCCCCAACAUAUGCAAUUUGAUUUAGCUUUUAUAUGUAAUCUACCUAGGUUAAUAGAUUAAGUUAUAUGCAAUUAAAAUCCUUUUAUUAAUUGCAUGCUAACUUAAAUAAUUAACCACCAUAAGAUAAUGACAUAUUAAUUACGUCGCCCGGAAUUUAUGAUUGUCACCAAUUACUUUCAUAUAUCAAAUAUAUGAAAUAUCUUUUGUAUAUGCUUUCACAUUAGGGUUAAAUCAUACAACCUCAAAUCCAAAUCAAUGACAAGAAUAAUUUUUGUGGCGACAUAAGGGUGGCUCUGAUACCAUUGUAAGGAAAUACAUGCACGUGCAUGUGCAUUUAAUGCAGUGGAAAUAAAUUUUAUUUAUAAAAUAUGAUCCAAUCAUGUAUACUUUAAUAUCAUAACAUUUAUGAUAUUAGUAUAUAUAUGUACCAAGAUCAUCUCGUGUGAUACAAAAAUUAUUAUUGUAAUCUAAUUAGAAGAAAGUUUCGAAUUUCAAUCUGUGUUGAUUACCGAAAUUAUUUUACGGUUGAUUUUGGAUCUGAUCUUCUGAUUGUUUUAGCCGCACAAGUGUUCGGCCUCUAUAUUUAUCCACACAAGGCUGCUCCGGGAUCUGUGCUUCACACAAUCACAGUGUAAUCUCGAAACUCCUUUCGUGAUCUCUUGUGUCAAUAUAGAGAAAAAUUAAUCCUCAAAAUUAUGCUAGCAAUUUCAACAAAAUUAACUAUAGAGACCAAUUAAUAUAGGAUGACCUCUCUCUUAUGAUUAAAAGAAAGCUUUAUAUGAUUGGGAGAAUUUUCUUUCUUUCUCUUGCACUUCACUUUAUGUGUUGUGAUAAUUAUCAUCAUUGAGAGAUGCCUCAAUUUAUAGGAGAGGAAAAAGGUAGAGAGCCGAGGAAGAGGUGGGAGAAACGUUCUCAUAAUGAGACGUUGAUGUCCUUGCAAUUAAUAAAGCAUCUCUCUCUCAAAUUUGGAGAGGAGAGAAAGAAAGAAAACACACACCAUAAAUGAGAGGAGAGUUAACUCCUCUAAUUUGAUAUGUAUAGAGAAGAAGAGAGGAAAGGAAAAAUGUUUUCACUUUUCUUCUCCAUUAAUAGUACAAUUAAUAUGUACAAUUUUAUUUUCUUUCUCUCUCCCUUUUUGUCUUCAUCUCCCAAUAAUUAAUAAAAGGAUUAGAUACGAAGAGAGAGUUGUCACCUUAUAAGUUAUUGCAACUAUUGCACAUAAGCCCUCGUACUAAAUCAAAUUUAGUUUUAGGUCACUCUACGCAAAUUCCAUCUUUUGCAAUUAGAGUUUUUGUUAACCACCUUAGUAAAUAAAUUCUUAUUUUACUACUUUAGCAAAAUAGUCUCUAUUAAUUCUCCAAGCACUCGAUCACACAUGGCCUUUAUUGUGUGUGAUCACAUAGGUUCAAUUCUACCUGGUAGUGAGAUGUGACACUAAACUCUUUUAAUGUCACCAUUGGGACUCUUCUCGAUGGAGCAAAAUAUUUUUGGCUCUCCCAACUGAGUGUAAUUAACUAUCUUAAUCACUCUCAUGGGUCCCACAAUCCACGAGUGACACCUAGCAGUAUAUCGCGGCAAUCCAAGUAAAAUUAAUAAUAGACAGAAUCUCUAGGUGCAGUUACCGUCUGAUAAAAUCCUUCUAUCAAUUGUCCUGAUUGAGUUGAGGUUAUGGAUAACUUGUCAAACCCAUUACUCAAUCAUAUGUCUCAUCUGAUUAACAAAUAAUAUUGAAACUCUUUUUCAGAAAAUCACACUGUCUUGGCCAAGGGCUUUUAUAUCUUGUAAAACAGAUAGCAUAGGAUAAUUACCUCUCUACCGAGGGUGAUAGAUUCUAUCUUGACACACACCUAUCUCCACGUAUGACCCACUGCAGCCAACAUGUGUUGACUUAACCCAUGAUUAGGGUAUAAGUAUUUACACAGUCAAACUACAAUAACCCAUACGCAAGAUAACAGUGGUGCCUCAGGUCAAAGGAUCACUCACACUACUACAGUAUGGAACAAUUCACUAACGAGUGAGUAGACAUUCAUGUGAUUGUUUAUAGUUGAUCACGCUCAGUGAAAUUGUUCUCCAACAUUCACCUGUAUGUUUACUCUAGUGUCACCACACUAAUGACUUGAGACUCGUCAUUCCAUAAGGGAAGUACAACAUACACUGAUCUAUCCAGAUUUAUCACCGCCCUCGUGAUAAUCCUAUUUUCAAGAGCAUUUAAGAAUUAAUUACAGAAGAAUAUAAAUCUCAAAUUUUAACUUCUUAGAAAUAUAAUUCUUCUAUUAUUAAUUCUAUGGACGAUUCAUAAAUAUGCAUUUGGUAAUAAUAUGAAUGAAGAAUGCCAGCUUUAAUCAUAGAAGAAAAGUACACUGAUAUUAUCCUUUUAAGUUAUGACAGAGAUUGGCUUAUAAGGCAUAUAACUAACAAUUUUGACUUGACGUAUGCCGUCGUCCAUAUCAGUGGAUCGAGGAGACGAAGUGGUUGAAAAGAAUAAAAAAGAAUGAGCCAGAAUAGUAAAAUAAGUGAAUAUGUGGAAAGAGACGAAAUAUACCGCCAAGAGUAGAGGAGAAGUUGUCGACUCCUUGUCAGAACCCCCACUCAACGCUUCUUGUUCCGAAGAAUCAACCAUGGUCUCCUUAUCCUUAGAGAGGCCAGCUGAAACGAAGCAUAUUGGAAACAGAAUAAAUCAAAAAAGAAAGGGGCAAAGAAGAGGGAAUCUGAAAAAUAGAAGUACCUACUGCUUGAUCAAAAUCAAAGCAACGAAGAUGAUUCGGAAAGGGCAUUGUGAAUAACCCAUCGCAGAAAUUGUCCUAUGCACGCCGGAAAAGUGCAUCGGUUAAUCAUGUUCUAUUCCGCCAAAAACUUACAGGGAGUAAAAGAGCGCCUCAAACAAUUCUCCAUUGUCGAGAUCUAAUCCGCCUCGACUGCUUCUUUGGUAGGGUGUGAGAACGAGAAUUGUUGGCCAUAAAAAACUUAGGUGGAACCAAAAGUGAUUGAAUUAGACCGAACUAUCGCACCUUCGAAGUAACAAAAAUUCAGAAUCUCUUUUUUGUGAUGAUAAUGCCAAAAAAUAUCAGUUGGCUUAUCUGUCGUUCUUUAUAUUGAUCAUUACAUGCCUCUUGAAUCUUCUCUUCCCUAUUUUUCUAUUUGUUAUUUGAUUUAUUAUGUUUUUUGGGGCUUACUACAGAUUUACUCCUCUUGUUUUAUUAUUGAUAGGAAUUCUCUUGUUGAGACCCUAAGAAUCAAUUGAAAACUCAGAUUCGUUUAGAACCAUGAAUGAUUUAUUUGCAAUAAACUUUCGUUCUUGGUGUCAACUUAGUCUUCAAGCCGAUAUGCAGAUCCCGUGCAGCCAGGAAAGAAUACAAGAGUUCGAAGUACUCACUGGCAUUAGAUGAAACCAUUUGGCUUUAAAUAGCUUCGAACCUUGCAAUAAACCAAGUUGGGCCAAUCAGUCGCUCUCUGAAAGGUACCCAGUUGAUGAGGUGUCGGGUAUUGUAGGAGUAGAAAACUCGAAAGUAAGUCAGAAAUCUGAAGGUUGGCCCAAAGAAAGGGGUUCCAGACAAUCGAGGCCAGCCCCGUACGUGUCGAAAUGUGGAACUGAAUCCUAGUCAAAGGGGAUUCGGCACAAAACAGCUGCAAGCAGUGUUGGAGAAACCACAUGAUCCUGCAGCCCGAACUGAUGACUAUACUGCUCUUCAAUAGCAACGAUUUGAUUGACUCUAGGAUAUCCCGAUAAAAAAACUAAAGCAAAUACGAGCUGAGAGAUAGUUUUUCGUCGUGGGCCAACGCGAAGGCGAUUAGGACAAAGUCCCGGUUGAUCUUCUAUGAUCGAGUGUAACGACCCGGCCCGCUAGCAAUAAUAACUCAUUGAGCCCAGGCCGCUGGCCCAAAAUGCUUAAGCUCAGUUAUUAUGUCUAGCUUAGUUAAGUUUAUAUACCUCCACAUUUAGCCAUAACUACUCAAUAUGGGAUUAUUUGGGUGUCACAGACUCCACCCAUUUAGGCCCUGAUGUCCUCGUCAAUUCUAAACACACACACAACCCAUGAUCACAAGGCAAUGUGAGACUUGUUUCACUGGCCUUUCUCAUUGAGAUCCUGACUUAGCCUGUCAUUCAUUGAUCCUGGCUUAGUCUGCCAUUCCAACCCUGGCUCAGCCAAGACUCAUCUUACACUUCUGGCUGGUGAACCGGCUCUGAUACCAAAUACAAUGACCCGACCCGCUAGCAAUAAUAACUCGUCGGGCCCAAAUCAUUGGCCUCGAAUACUUAACCUCAGUUAUUAUGUCUAUCUUUAUCAAAAUUAUAUACCUCUACAUCAAGCCAUAACUACCCGAUGUAGGAUUAUUGGAGUGUCAUGUCGGGUACAGAAAAAAUUAUGGCAGAGCCAAUAAAGAAGGGAAGUGGUAUGCUCAUCUUAGGUGACAGGAGUAGUGGGGGACUGACCCAUAAACAGCUUCAUAAAUUUGGUAUAAGCGAGGUCCGUUUUUGGGUCUAGAAGGGCCUUAAAUUUUGCUAGAACCAUCAAGAUUGUAGGCCAUAGAUAGGGGUGUAAUGUGGGCCGUAUCGGGCCAGCACGACCCACAUUAAGCCGGGCCGAAACAGGUCGGAGGCUAGCCCAGCACUGCUUGGCCACAAAGUCGGGCUGUGUCGUGCUGGGUCGUAGUUCUUUGACCACAACCCAACACGAACCCUGGCCCGGACGGCAUGGGCCGUGCCGGGCGGGGCCAAGCUUCGGGCCAUCCCUUUUUAUUUAUUUAAUUUUAAAUUAAAAAAAUAAAAUAAAUUAAAAUACUAUUUUUUAAAAAUAAUAUAUGAGAAAAAAUUUUAAAUUUUAAAAUAUAUUUAUAAAAAUAAUAAAAUUUUAAAAUUAUUUAAAAAUUUUUAAUAUUUUUGGACCAAAAUACCCUCACAAUAGUCAAAUGGGAGGAUAUUUUGGCCCUAAGAAGACCAAAAGCCCUGCUCCUAAGGGUCUGCUGUAGCAAACCCUUGGGAGAGGCCUAAGGCAUACAACCUGGCUCCCAACUCCCAAAGCAUUGGGAGUUGGGAGCCUUUCGGAGCCGGUCUUUGGCUCCUCUCAGGCCCGGCAUGGCCCAGGCCCGUGUUGUACCGAGCUGUGCCGGGCCAACGGACCGCAGAAAGGUGGCCCAACCCGAUCUGAUUUAUCNGCCGAGCUGGGGCUCCUCUCAGGCCCGGCAUGGCCCAGGCCCGUGUUGUACCGAGCUGUGCCGGGCCAACGGACCGCAGAAAGGUGGCCCAACCCGAUCUGAUUUAUCAGGCCGAGCCAGCCCGGCACGAGUGCUACAGUACUCGUGUCGUGCCUUUGCCCGGCCCAAUAUCCUGCCUGGUCGGGUGGCUCGUGGGCCGCCUGGCUCGUUUUACAAGCCUAGCCAUAGAUAGGAUAGUGCCAUGAGGAUGAAGACCAAGGAUUACUGCCACAUAAAAAUGGUCGGGAUAAAAGGCCCAACCAUAAAUGGAAGGUAUUCGAAGCAGAGGACCAGAAGCAUAACGCCGCAGCAAAAAGGAGAUUGUCGACUUGGGGAGUCUUUGAAAGUUAAAUGGUGUCGUAAAUCCCAAUGUCACGCCAUGAGUCGGCAAAAGAUGCUUUAACUCAAUCUAACUAUGCUAGGUAUGUCUCCGAGAAGCUAGGCCAGGUGCGAAGGCUGUUUCUUGGUGAUUUUGAGGAAAACCAAAAAUGGAAAUGAAUGAUAUCCGGCAUUACAGGAAGCCCUCCCGCUGAGAAAAAAAAUGUUGUUGCUAGAGGGUCCCAAGAAAGAAGGGCCGAGAAUGAAGCAGGAAGGGUCAGCCACAGAUGACUUCAAAAGGUGGAAGUCAACAUUAGAAGAUGAGGAAAAAGAAGGAAUCCGAGCCAUUGGAGAAGGAGGCUUUGGAGAAGAAGGCUCUAGAGAAGAGGAAGAGCAAAAGAAAAAUAGUCGAGAAGAAAAAUAAGGAAGCAGCUUGGAGGAGACAAUAUAGUGUCGUUGGGGGGAGUUUUGAAAAGGAUUUGAUGAUGAUGGCAACAUUUAAUCUCCUAUUUAAUGCCCUAGGUCGCUAGGUAAGACAAAAGGCACCCAAAAUCGUAGUCGUCGAAGAAUAAAAUUAAGUACGGAAUAAUUAAAAGGCGUGGCUAAACGAGGCUGCUGAGCGGAACAAUGAUAUGACCGAAAAGGAUGGUCAAUCUCGACAAUUAAUCCAGCGGCAUCUAAUCUCAGUCAUUAAUCAGGUAACGUCGGUCACCCGAAACACCUAUUCAGGAGACUGCCAGGGGUGUAUUUUUGGCAUCGAGAAAAUAACGCCACAUGGUAAGCGGUUUGGCCCACAUGAUCAAACAGUGAGAACAAAACAACAGGUGACACGUGGUGCAUGCACUAGGAGCCAAGGAGAAGAACGCCUAAACAGAAAAGCGGUUUAGGCGGGAAUAGUUAGAUACGUAGAGGUAGAGUUCCGUGGCCAACAAGGUAUCAGCCGAAGCACAAUCCGAAGAAAUAGGGACAUGGCCGAAAAAAUCUCCACGACAAGAAUCACCCAAUAACUACAGGCGGUAGAAUAUAUUACAAUAAAUAGGAAAAAGCGCACCUAUGAUUAGAGUCCUUCAUAUGAGCAAACGACUACUGCAAAUUUCAAUUUUUUCUUUAGCAUUUAUGACUUUCCGGGAGUAGUUCACAAAUUUUUCUUUUCUUUUAUCAUUUUUUUCGAGAGUUUAGUUAAUUUUAAGAGCUUUUCUAGGACUAAAUUUAGCUUUUCUACCCGCUUUUGUAAUCUCUCUUUUGCAGUUAGUAUAAAUGGUCGGUUCUUUCAGCUAAGCUCGCCUUUCGGUUCACUUGUAGAUAGUUAGCAGAAGAGCCCGAUUGAGUAGAUUCCUUCUCAAUCGAAUCGCUUGACUUAGUAAUGGAGCAUUUGAUAGUCAUUCGAGGAACCGAUUCGCAUUCCAAGGCUGUGUCUGACUUGGUCAAUGCAUUGACCUGGUCAAUGUCGUCCCGCAUUUGGUUUCUAGCCCAAUAGUCUCCAAUGAGUUUCCUACCGGAUUGGAUUGUUACAAAUUCACCCUCUAAUAAAAAUGUAUUAAAUAUGGAAUAAGGUGAAGUUAUUUUAAGAGUUUUGGAACCACUAUCAAUGAAUUUAUCAAAUUUGAAAGUUUCGGGACUAAAAUAUAAUCCUUGACUGAAAAUAUAAUUUUGAAAUAAAGUGAAACUAUUUCAAGAGUUUAAGGACCAUUAUAUAUCCUACACGUGCAAUUUGCCUAUAUAAUAACUAGGGCUGGCAAACGAGCGAGCCGGCUCGCGUUCGACUCGUGUUCGGCUCGAUAUUCGGCUCGCUCGAGCUCGACUCGAAAUUAAAUAAGCCGAGCUUGAACAAAAUAAAAGGCUCGAAAUUCAUUUCAAGCCGAGCUUGAGCCUAGAUUUAGGCUCGAAAUUAAUUUCAAGUCGAAUUUGAGCUGACAUAAGCUCGCUCGAGCUCGGCUCGUUUCCACCCCCUAAUAAUAACUGUGGCACAAAUGGAUUAUGUUUAGAUUCAGAUAUCAAAGGCAAAAGAAUACUAUCCACUGCUGUCAAGACUAACUGUACGCUGCAUCUAAAUUGGCAAACAUGCUUCCCCAAUUAUAUACUUUGCGAAAGCAUAAAAAAUACAAUUAAUGUGGAAGUCACAAUUGCUCUGAAGGCACUUCAAAGUCAGAAAGUAUGUUAGAAUAAAAUUUCUAUUUUUGUUGCUCUUCACGAAAGUUGGGUAGACUUUAGCAACAAAUGGGCAGUAGGAGGUUUAGCUUAUUCUGCACGUCCCCUCAUGUCAGUAUUUCUUCCUCUGUUACUUUCAGUGCUUGACCAAUAUCUUAAUAAAAGAAAAAUUAAAAAAAAAAAUCGAUGACUUUAGAGUGGCCAUAUUUUUCUCAUAGAAUGACAUCAAGGAUGAUAAGAAGAUACUUACUACACAUAAAAUAGGACUAAGAAUAUGGAUGCGUGUGGGGACAAUAGUUUGAAGCUAAUCUUUUGCUAAUAUUAUUUAGGAAAACGUGCGUAAAAACCCUCUGAACUCCAACAGUUUUGUAACCGGUGUGAACUUUUAAUUUUGACAACUCAAUUGUCGAAUAGUACUCCAUCCUUCUCCUCUGUUAAAGUUACUAAUCACAUAACUAUAUUUGUAAUCUUCCAAAACUUUAAAUUACAAAAAAAAAAUAAAAAUCUAUUUCUUCUAUUCUAACACAAAAACAAAUAAAGAAAAAUUGAAAAUGGGUUCCUCCUGUUCUUUAAUCCUAAUGUCUAAUUAUGAUAAUUAGACGAGAAAAGUAUAUUUUCUGUGUUCUUGAAGCUAGACAAAGUUAUAUAUAAAAUAUACAAUCAAAAUGACUAUUUAAUUAGUAACUUUACGUGAGCAGAUUAAUCUACUAAUCUAUAUAUAAAAAAAAAAAAAAUUUAGAAUGUUUGGUUGUUAAAAUGAAAAGUUUAAAAAUUUAUUUGCAAAAGUGCUGAGGUUCAGAAAAUUUUUAAAUAAAUUUUUUUCAAUUAUUUAAUGGUUUGGAGGGUCAUUGAUUCAAUCAUGGGAUCAAGCCGAUGUUUGUUUUGCCCAAAAGUCAAAUCAAUGAAAAGUCAGGUUCCACAGGGCUCUCACGUCAUCGCCAAAUCUAUUGAUUGCUCAAAAGUGAUGGCCGGUGACAAAACGUAUCGAGAACCUCUUUUCAUUUCUUUUUUUUUCUUUUUUUUUUUUCUCAUGUAAAAAAGUACCAUACUAUGAACUAUGAAAAAAGAAAUGUAAACGAAAUAAAUGAGAAAAUAAAUGCUAAACGAAAAGAUUGUAGAGCAAUAAUUAAUCUUGCUCUGCUUCACCUUUUCCCGGUUCUCUCGCUCUCCUGAAACCGUCGCUUGCCCAAAUCCCACCGCAUUAAAAUGUCCCUCUAUUGCGUCCUCCUUUGACAAAUUGCACGAAGCAUCGGCCUAAAAGAGUGGAAGAUAACAGCCACCUUGCUCAGCUAGCUAUUCUUCUCCCACCAAAACCCAUUGCGAAAGGGACCUUCGCCUUUGACCUCGCAUACUUAAAUAAUAAUUUAAAUAUGGAGGAGGCAACAGGCAACAGGCAACUAGGCAAGUGGGUUUUAAGUAUAUGUAAAAUAAUUACAUUACAUAAAAGGAAAGGAAAGGCCAAAAAAAGAAAAGAAAAGAAAAGAAAAGAAUAGCUAUAUAAAUCUAAAUCUUUAUCUUUAUCUUUCCCCUCCCCUCCCACCAUGGCUCUUCCAAAGCUCCCGGCCCGUCUCCUCCUCCUUUUGCUCUGCGUGAUCUCCGCCGUCGUCUUUGCAAGCGCGUACAGAAGUGGCUCCUCCGUCUACGGAGCUCCUCGUCGAAAUCAGGUGCCGGAGCGACACGGCAUUAGGAAGGUCCAUCUUGGUCCGCGCGGUCAUCUCUCCUUCCAGAUUGAAGGGCUGCCGUCGGCGUUCAGCUCCCUCCCUCGAGGGACGCAGAUCCCGCCGUCGGGGCCGUCCAAGCAGCACAACAGCCUCAGUGACUCCACUGCGACCAGCGGGGCUGUCGCGCCAUGACCCAGCAAACACACAUAUAAAUUUAUAAUUAACCAUCUACAUGCAUGUACGUAGGUAGAGAGUUUGUACGUAGCUGCUGGGGAAGUAAUUAAUUAUCCCAAGUAUUGAUUCUUGCACUAAUUACUUGUUGAUUGUCGCAAGAGGGUGCAACAGUGCACCUCGCCAAACAGGUAAGGUAGUUACUUAUUUUUGCUGAUUGGUUGGAGCUUGGAGCGCGGUCUUUUUUCUUUUCUUCUCUUUUCUUUUCUUUUUUUCUGUUCUGUUUCUGUUUCUGUUUCUGUUUGCUUAGUAUUAGUAGUUAAUUUCCAAAGGUUUGCAGUGUAUAAUGAGCUUUCUUCCUUCUCCUUAAUUGUCCUUUCAUCACCGCAGAAGAUGAUACCCAACUCGCAGAUUUUAGUUUUGAAAAGGGUGCAUUCACCUACCGUCCCAAGCGCAAGUGGCAAAGUACUUAAUGGUUGGUACCCGAGAUCCCGAGUUCAAAUUCUAAUUGAUUACAUUUCCAGAUAAGUUUAUUUUUAAAUAAAAUAAACAAAACGGGUAGCAUACAACCUAUCUCUCUCAAAAAAAAAAUUAGGCGGAAAAUUUGAAAUCCCGCAAUUUGUCUAUAUAUAUAUAUAUAUAUAUAGAGAGAGAGAGAGAGAGAGAGAGAGAGAGCGCGUCUGACUAUUAUAGUCUUAUGAGUAUGAUCGUCUUCGUAUUCAUAAGUCGUUUUCGAUAAUAGAGCUUUUAAAUCAACGAUCAUACCGUUAAAUAUUAUUUGGAGAAUUUAAAACUUAUAAAAAUCAAAUUUCAUAAUUUUUCGCUAUCAUUUACUUUACGAUUAAAAAGUCACAAAAUUAAUAAUUUUUUACGGCCGGUAUGGAAUACUUGCUAGUUUAACCAUAUAAAAGAAUUGAAAUAGAUUGAAUUUUUGAUAUAAAAUCUAUUCACUAGCUAGAUAAAGAUAAAUAACUCCUAUCUUAAAUUGAAGGAUCUGAUAAUCCAUUUUUAGUACGUCGUUCAAUUUUGAUCGCUCAUUUUAUACCCGCUUGAUGAACUUUAUUAUGAUUUCAAAAAAUUACAAAACUUAUUUUUAAAAGUUUCAAAUACUUUAGAUCAUAUUUAACGGAGUGUAUCAUCGAUUCGGAAGCUCCAUUAUUGAAAAUAACUUAUGAGUACGAAGAGUUCUAUACUCAUAAGAGUAUAAUAGCCUUACUCAUAUUGUCCUAUCGUCAUCGCAAAAGAUCAUACC
RNAcentral lists this long non-coding RNA (85702 nucleotides) under Ananas comosus (pineapple). Its description in RNAcentral is "long non-coding RNA (ACOM_LNC012254)". Lineage: Eukaryota; Viridiplantae; Streptophyta; Magnoliopsida; Poales; Bromeliaceae. The record is from RNAcentral.